AGAAAAGCAAAAGGAAGGCCAAACCAACUCCAAUGCAAAUUUUACAAAGAACAUAGUCUACAAAGAAGUUCUCAGCGUGUAGUUCAAGGUAUGAAUCACUCGAGUACAAUUCGAUGGCUGUAGAAAUUCAAUCUAUCUAGAUUACUAGGGUCAAUCAUCUAAAAUUGCUUUCCAGCUAUUAUGGUUCUGAAGUUUGUGUAGAGGACUUUAAGAAAAACAACUAAGAUGCUUGCAUUAGCGUUCAUGAUAUUUUUUGCAGAAAAUAUUAUACAUGUAUUCAAAUUGUUUUUGGUAGUUUUCUUUAUUACUUCCACUGUUCAAAUAAUUUUGGAUGACACCUACAGCAGGCCGUUUUUCAUCGACGCCCCUCAUUUGCUUGGUAGCUCCACAUCAAAAAUUUCAAUUCACACCUCGAAUAUUUAUUUCCUUGCUGUCUAUUAUCGGCAUCUUUUUUUUUGUGUAUGUGUGGAAACCUGGUUGAUGCAAGAAAGUGAAAAGAGGGCCAGUACUGAUGUUUUUGUAUGCAUAAUAUGUGCAUGUGCAUUCGCCCCUUCUAUAUAUACACAUGAUUCAAAAGCAUGUUUUACUGUACAUUUUGUUCCUUUGCUUGGUACAAAAUGCAUUGCAAGUGUUAUUCAUUGUUUUUUCCUUGACUAAAUAUACUACAAACCAUCUACAGGCUAAUAUUUGUUCCUUUCCCUGAAUAUACCUGACUGUUACGUAUGCUGUAUUGAUUGUCUAAUAUCCUUUAUUCUUUUUAGGUGAGCAGAUGGAUGAUGUGAGAGUCCCAAAACUAAUAUGGUUGGCAUAAAUGUUUUGAGCAAACAACUAAAGAGGAGUUCACAGGGCUUGCAUUUGACGAAGCCACUGUUCGAAGGAUGCUGGCACAUGGCACAUCAUUUUGCCAUAGUAAUCUUGCUUAUGGAGCCCGAUUAUUUUGGUUGUACUUGUAUGUACUCAUGUAUGCAAGUUAUGCACCAAGUGUUUUAUUUUAUUGUUUUCUCUUUUCUCAUGUGAGUUAUCGUGGCUUGUUACUGGAUGUGAUAUGUUUGUGAGGUGCUCAAUGUCUUUACCAUUUCUAGCAGAUAAUUGUGUGCGGGCUGGAGUUGUAGUCCAUGUUAAGCAAACAGAAGCCAAAGACAGGCAAAUGGAGAGAUAAAGCUGGUGAAUGUUGUCACAGUUGCUACGUGUGUAAGUUGCUACGUGUGUAGACGAAUUUUAUAUUUGCCGCAUGCUCUCCCCUUGAUAUAGGAUAGAGCGAGCAAUUAGAGAGUUGAGUAGGGAGAAGGGUCUUCCUACGAGAUGUAGAUGGACAAUAAAGAGUUUGGCUUCAUGACGAAGGGGUUCAUCGAUUAAAAAACAUAUGUUUGAUUGUGCUCGAUGUCUAUUUAUCAAUAAUAAUAUAUCACUACUUUAAUCAAUGUAUGAGUUCCUGACUAUAACUUAGGUCCACCUUAUCUUUUUUGAUCCCGUAGCGUAGCACGGGCAUCUUACUAGUAACACAAAAAAUCAUCUCAGGAAUACAUUUCCCUACACAGAAAUAUAGCAGGAACAGAGGGAAUAUACAAUAAAGAAAAUGAAGGCACAUCUGCUACUAUCAUAAUAGUACAAUGUAUUUUUUUACAGAACAGCCUUUUUACGGAAUAUACAAUAGAGGGAUUUCAUUGCUCUCUCUUACGAGACAUGCUCCAGCUGCCACAACUUGCCAUCCUACAAUGAGAGGUAUAUAACAAUGGACUUCAUGAACAUUAGAGGAGCAAACGCUCAAUCAACACCAAGGGCUAGAUAAAGCCUUAGCUAGCAUGCAUUCGAAAUUUAGACAGAGGCAAUCAGUUACAGAAAGUAAAUGAGGACCAGACUUUACAAUUACAGUACCAUAGGACAAAUCCAUCAAUCCACGAGGCAAAAUAUGAGUGAAUCCAAAAAGAGGCAGAAAGGAAUACCUAUUUUGAUCCAAAGGGGCUCGUGAGCAUGGCCAUCUUCCGUAAGAGGUUGGCCCUAGCACCCUGGAUCAGACGCGCUGGGAGCUUGUAGCUUGUCCUGGUCAUACUGCUAUCCUAAGUAACAGGAAAAAUCAAAGCAACAGUUUGGACUUGGUGUUAACGAACAGACACUGUAAAUCAAUAGCAUAUAAAGCACCAAUUUCCUCGGAUGCAAGGAGAAGAGGAGCAAAACGACAGAGAGGUGGGACAUUUUUCGUACCUAUAGAUGAUAUUCACAGCCAAGGAAGAUACAUGGGGCCAGCCUUGCAUGUGUGCUUGCUUCACCGGUACAUGCAUCACCAUAGCAGCCAAGUAAGUAGGCAUCAUCAACAUCUCCUCACCACUUUCCUGGCCACAAACAAAGAGUCAAAACAAAAUAUAUUAGACCAUAAUAUGACACCAGAGAGUAACUGUAAAUCACAAAGUAUAUCCACAACACCAUAAAAUAGUCCCAGACCCUAGUGCUAUUUGAGUAUAUCGCAUGUAGUUUAUUUUCAUGAAGGGUUGUGUAUGCACGAUAAAUCCAGAAAUAGGAGGAGGAUGGCUUAUCAACAAACUGAACUUAGAAAUGAAACUUUGUAAUGCUCAAGUUUCAGCUAAUAGGGAUUACAGAAUUUUACAUGGGACAAAUUCUUCUAGUUGCAUUUAUCACAGAUAGAAGAGUUUAUAGUGAAUAAACAUUUGCAAUCAAAGACACAGCCUGGAACAUAUUAAUUUCAAGGUGCAGUUUGUAUACAAUCGAACAUCUUAGGUUGUAUACUACUCAUGAUAAUUCCACUGAUCUACGGAGUCAAGGCAUGCAACUCAAGAAGGUAUUUCUUCACUAUUACAGAAAUAUAUCAUUGUUAAUGUAAAUGAUCUAGAAUAAAUAUACAGAUAUUACCACAAACACCUAUCAGGCAAAAUCCCAUCGCAAGUGAACUCGAACAUGUGCUGGACACACCCAAAAGAAACACCUAGUCGUACAACUUCGUGUACAAGUCACCUGUGCCCAAAAGAAACACCCAGCCACCGCAGGCCAUGGUUAGACAGCAGCUAGCACAAUAUAAUUAAUAGCCAGCUAAAGCUUAAUGCAAGAUCAUAUUCAUAGUUGGCAUGCAUCAAUACAGGAAUCUACAAUGUUGGAUAAGGUGAUAAAGAAAAAUAGAAAUAGUGGAGUUAGAAACAUAUGCAGCACAAUGAUAAAACAGAACAAUAGAUUUAAUGUGUAUAUAUUCUGUUUGCUCUGCUAAUUGUUACAUGAUACACUCGUGUGUGUAUAUUCUGAUGAGCCAUUACCAUCUAGACAACAACAACAUGGACAUAAUACUAAUUACCUACACAAGGCAUCAAUACUCUACAUGAGAAGGCCACGGUUACUCUUUGGAGCAGUAUGAGAACGACAAGCAUUGCAUCCUUGCCCUUUACUCGAGGCUCCAGGACACAAUAACAACAUCAACGCCCACCUUUUUUUGCUUGAACACACACCUAAACUAGGGACACAAGAAACAAAAAGGCUAAAUUGCGCAGACACCCAUCUGGACCUAAAUCAACAUCUUUACCUACAAAGAGAAAUGGGGACAGGCCAUAGAAUCCCCUCAUGUGAAGGCCAUAGUUACGUUUGGAGCAAUAUGAGAAAAGACAGGCAUUGCAAGCCUGCUCUUCACACAUCAUUAGACCUGCAAACAACCUUGCAGGUAGCUGGCUCUCACUUAACUAAACAUGCAGGCAAUGAAAGCACCCAACAUUUUUAUUUUAGCAGCCUGAUUAAUAAAUUUAUACCAAACAAACAGAAAUUGCAAUGACCUAGUAUGAACCAUGUAAUACAUACACUUCAAUAUGUAUCCUAGUUUAUCGUCAUCACCUCAUGAGCUUAAUAAUUACAUAAAGUAAUUAUCAUCAUAUCCAGAAUUACAAUAGCAGCAGCCAGCACUAGGACUACCAAAUUGAUUCAAAGUUCUUGCCAUUGUGCAACAACUAGAGCUCUCAACUACUAGCUCCUGGUACUAGCUGAUCUGAAUGUGUAAGAAGUUUGAUAUAAAAUGUGAGUAGAACAAUUCUUCAGAGCUAAAUGUGCAAUGAGCUUCUGAAUAUUAUCACUUUGGAGGGUUACUAUUCUUAGUUCUAAGAAGCCAAGACAACAUCAAGCUUAUAAUCAAUCCAAGAUGACAGCAAGUCCAAGAUCUUAUGGCCAAAGCAGAAAUUUCCAUGGCGCCAAGGCCAUCAUAAGAUUUACCACAUAGAGCAUGGGAGAUAAGCAGAGGGGAGGAAUCAGUGGGAUAACUUAGAGGAGAGAAGCCGACGGUGAGGACGGCCAAGGCGAUGGACCACCUCCCCUUGCAAGUCAGCCUUGUAGUCAAUCCACCUCCCCAUGUGCAUGACGACGGCCUCCCACUCGGCGACGUGCUUGGUGACGAUGCUGCAACAGGUCUUGUUGUACUUGCCGAUGCCGAGGUCGAGCUUGUCGAUCUCAGCAUGGGAGCUUGCUGAUGCCCAUCCAUGGGAGCGUCUGCGACGACGUCAUAGUUGUACCUUCAAUCCAAAGCACAAGAUCCAAACGUUAGAAAAGAACAGGAAUAGUACUGCUCUACCAACUUCACUUUUUGUUUCUGGAAAUAUAAUUGCUUGAGCUAAUUUGAAAGAUACAAAAAUUAAGUUGGAACCAUUUUUCCCUUUGCUGUUGAGAAAUGUCCCAAUCCAUUUAGUUUUUUUUACAAAAGACCAAGAUCCCAAAAAUUACUUUGGGGGGGGGGUGCUCAAAACAGUCUAUAUGUGUGGUGAUUUUGUUCAAAUUCCUUCAUACACUAGCACCAACAGCUGGCCUUUUCAAUCAAGAGAAAAAGAAAAAUGGCGACAGAGAAUUGGAGGGCAAAGCACAUGCUUGGCGUUUUUCUUUACUGUGUGAGUGUGCGUGUGCUGUGUGCAACACCAAACUGACUGACAACCGAGAUAUUCACCAGAGGCUCCUUGAGCAGAAUUUACAGGCCCACUCCUACACAUACAUUGCUAAGCUACUCCCAUAUAAAUCCGCAGCAGCUUUUCCUCAAGAGCAUAGGACUAGUAGGAUGAAGCUGUUGCCAAGCCUAACCCAUGCAUGCACGGUACUCAUUUGGCAGCGAAGCGCCGCGCGACGUCGCCCUCCGCCGCGGCGAAGAAGGCCUCCAUCUCCUCCGCCAGCGGCGACCUCCCCUUCUUCGCCUUCUUCGCCCUGCACACCAUGACAAACAGCAGCCAAAGCGUGAGUAGAGGAACUCCACACGCAACAGCACGGCUUGGAACGGCCAGCACCGUGCCGUGAGGAGAAGGAAGGACGAGGGCUGGAGACUGACAAGUCGGCGGGGAGGCCGUGGCAGUCCAAUCCGAAGUGGCGCAUCACGUGGCGCCCGCACAUCCAUUGGCGCCCCUUGACGACGGCCGCCCCGCCUGAGAAGAGUUGAAGCCCUCCCGCACCAGCCGCGUCGUCGGAGGGGGGGGGGGUCUGUCCUGGCGGCGCGAGCCCCUCCCACUCCGCCCGUCUCUGGUGACUUGCCAUGGUCGCCGCCGGCUAUGGGGUGAGGAAGAUAUGCGCCAUGGCCGCCGCCGGCUGACCUGCUUUGGAUCCUUGCCAUGGCCGUGGGCAAAGAGGUUGUUGGGAGGAAGGGGCGCCGGCAAAGGAAGGGAGGAUGGAUGGCAUUGGGUGGCGGAGGGGUGGCGGCGGCGAUCUGGAUCGGGGAGAGGGAGGCGGAGGCGAUGUGGAUCUGGAUCUGGAUCGAGGGACUGAGGGAGGAGAUGUGUCGUGCGCGUGCGUUUAGGAUAGGUGGGAGAGAGACGCUGGAUCGAGGGACUGAGGGAGGGUGUGGACGGCUCAGAUCAACUACAGUGGGGGGUGAUCCGUGGGCUGCCUUUUGAUUGGUUCAAAAAUAUAAAAUUAUUUCUUAGUGCUAAAAACAGGGGGUUUUGUGAAGCAACUACCAAAACUAUUCUGCAAAUUGGCAUCACUAAUUUUUUUUCACUUAAUAUAGACCAUAUUUUAUGGAUGAUUACCAAUUUUUAUGCAUUUCCGAUCCUUCUAGCUAUUUUUGGUCAUUUAAACAAAUUUCCGCUGAUUCGGUAGAAAGCGGGUCAAAUUUGAACUACAGGUGCCUCAUACUUUCUCUUUAUUUUUCUCAAAAAUAAUUUCUAGGUACAUAAGUAUCUAUUUAAUCAGAGAUACUUCAAUUUUUUUGCAAAAUUCGACCCUUAGCUUUGAACGGUCAUGCCCGUUGUUUUGACCGCAUUUUGAAACGAGCAUAAAAAAUUCAAAAAGAUUCAAAAAAUUGGAAAACCUUCGCAUUGUGUCAUUACAUGUGACCAAGUUAUUACGAAAAAUAAUAAACUUGCAAUACAUCAAUUAUUUUUAAAAAAGUGUUCUCAGAAACGAGCUACCAUGUGUGGAGAUCAAUGGCUUCCAAGCCAAAUGAUCAAUCUUAUGGCCACAUUCAUGGCAUAGUUUGUUCAAAUGAUCUCAUAUUAUGCACAAAGGUGCAUAUUGGAAUGAUAAACAAUGUUGCCUAAGGAAGUUUUCGUUUUCAAUGGCCGAAAAAAUCAUUUUCCAUUUUCCGAGGGCCCAAAAUGAGUUUUUUGUGUGAAGGACCUACCAUAUAUUUGUUGGAAAAUUGGACCAAAUCAUUUUUCUAAAAUACUAGGACAUAUUUAAUGCACAAUUGACCAAAUGGUUGGGUGUAAAAAGUUUUGAUCCACCUCUCGUGAAAAAGACAAUUUUCCGCUGAUUCAGCUGGAAGUGGGUCAAAUUUGAACUGUAGAUGCCGUGUAGUUUGCUCUUUAUUUUUUCCAAAAAUCAUUUCUAGGUACAUAAGUAUCUAUUUAAUCAGAGAAAAAACAAAAAAUUCGAAGAUUCAACCACUAGCGAGGAAUGGUCAUUCCGAGCGUUUUGACCGCAUUUGAAACGGGCAUAAAAAAUUCAAAAAAAAACAAAAAAUUGGGAAACCUUCGCAUUGUGUCAUUAUAUGUGGCCAAGUUCCCAGGAAAAAUAGCAAACUUUUAAUACGACAAGUAUUUUAAAAAAGUGUUCUCAGAAACGAGCUAUCACGUAUGGAGAUCAAUGGCUUUCAAGCCAAAUGAUCAAUCUUAUGGCCACAUUCAUGGAAUAGUUUGUUCAAAUGAUCUCAUAUUGUGCACAAGGGUGCAUAUUGGAAUGGCAAACAAUGUUGCCUAAGGAAGUUUUUAUUUUCUUUGGAUGAAAAAACCAUUUUCCAUUUUUCGAGUGCCCCAAAGGAGGGUUUUUUGUGAAGGACCUCCCAAAUAAUUGUUGCAGAAAUGGACCAAAUCAAUUUUUUAAAAUACUAGGACAUAUUUAAUGCACAAUUGACAAAAUGGUUGGGUGUAAAAAGUUUUUAUCCACCUCUCGUGAAAAAGACUAAUUUCCGCCGAUUUAGUUGGAAGCGGGUCAAAUUUGAACUGCAGAUGCCUCAUAGCUUGCUAUUUAUUUUUUUCCAAAAAUCAUUUCUAGUUACAUAAGUACCUAUUUAAUCAUAAAUACAUGGUUUGGUGGCAUACGUCGAGGUUUGGGCGGUGACCAAGGGCCCCAACUCUAGAGCGCGUAAACUCGCAUGCCCACCGCGUGGUCACUGCGUGACCGUGGCAUUGCCAUGUGUUCUGGGCGGCCUAGGCAUGUCUAGUGGGUUGGGCACUCCCCAGGUAGGUGCUAGGAAGAUAAUUAUGACAUAAAAUUCUCACGAGGAGACCGAUCGAUGCUCAAACAUGAAUUAGUAGCCAAGUAUUUGAUUAGCGGUACAAGAGAUGUACAUGGAUAAUGGGUGUGAGUUUUGGCUGAGGAUGAUUAGUUACUAAGAAGACCGUCUUCACAAAUUUUCAGCUCAAAAGGAGGAUCCUAGGUGGUACUUACUUUGCAAAGUACCACACCAGACAUAAAUACGAAUGUUGAAGCUGGGCUCAAAAUAAUGAAUGGAUUGAGCUGGCAUUUGGUGGAGGAUGGUUAUUUGGGCAUAGGAAAGCACUGUAGAAAAUGGAUACUAUUUGGACAUUCCAAAGUGGUACUUCCUUCACGAAGUGCUGCUCUGAACAAAAUAGGAAAAUGGAUAUUGUUGAAAUACUUUUGAACUAGGCAAGGAAGGUUUUUGACAUAUUUGAAGAAGAUAUGAUCCAAACAAUUUAUGAGAAUUUUUUGCGAAUUUUUGGAAUAACAGAAAUAUAGGUUGCUUCACAACCUAGGGUAAAAAUUGACACAUGGACAUGACACAUAGGCAAAACUGAUGAGAUGGCGCCUAGUCAUCGCAACCCACCACAAUUUACAUGGCUAUGACCAUCUAUAUUGGUCGUUGACAACUGGAAAUAAGGCAGCGGACUAGCGUUGUUUGCUUUAUGACCAUUUUGUGUAAGAAAUUACGACCUUUCUAAUCAAAAUGGUCGCAAUGGUUUAGGGUUUGGAGCCCCCCGAACAGCUUUUGACCAAUUGGUCUCAAAUGGUCAUAGAUCUAUGACCAAUUCUUCAAGGGCCACUAACAGAAGGUCACUAGUUGACAUAUUUCUUGUAGUGUCGCCGCUGCCAUUCUCCAGGCAGCACCCCACGCGACGACUGUCUUCCACAAACACACUCACGUAGAGGGUCGCGAGGCCAUCGUACCUGAAAUGGAGGGUGCACCUCCAGCUCAGACCCCGCGCGCGGGAAAACGGCUGCCAACCGCGGGUCAAGGACAUGUUGCCCGCGGUGCUGACUUCGACCCCCACCCAUGAGGCCCUGCUGCAGCAGCCGUCAGCCUACAGCCAGAGGCCAUCAAGCACCACGGUUGGUAGCGCAUCCGCAAAGAAGCGCGGGAGCGGGAGCCAGAUGCCAGCAGGCCUCUCCGACCACACGACGAACUCCGGGAACACGUCUGUCGAGUGGGAGCGCAGCCAAGGAGGCCGGGCGACCACAACACGCCUCCCCCCAUCGUAGGGGUUGCCCCAUGCUCGGCGGCUCCCACCGCGAGAGGAAGUGUCGUCGCGGCUUCCUGAGGCGACGCUUGCUCUCGAAGGGGUGUGCCCGCGCCCCCGAGGGGCCACCGCCGGGGUCGCGACAUACUUGCGGGGGCGUCCUCAGCCUCUCUUGGGAGGCGGCGAACCCGACCCCUCCUUGGGGGUCUUCCCCUUUUCCGCGGCGGAGAACCUCCUCAUUGGCGCCAUGGACGCUUCGGCAAGAGGGUGAGACAAGGAAGGAGAAGAAGAAAGCGGGCAAUAAGAAGAUGGAGACGAGCAAGGGGGCUCUGCCCCUCCCCUCAUUUAUAGCCAGGAGGAGGCCAACCGUCGGGCUCCAUAAUCCACAGUAAUGAUGAUCUUUCUGCAUGCAACAGGUUCUAGUCAAGCCGAACAGUUGCUGAGGCUGCGUGGGGAAGCAUAGAUGCCCACGUCCCAUCAAGCACCACAUGUCGACCGAGGCCGCAGGAGGUUGGGGCCCGUGGCGCUCCACCCUUGCCCUUUGGCUUCACCUCGAAGCCAAGUCCGAGUGUGCCUUGUGCCGGGGGCCACUUUUUGCGUUCUGGGAAUCUGGGUACCCAGACUUGCCUGCCUACGGCCCAUGGUGUUACUCCAUCGACGACCUGGUACAGCCCAUCUUCAGCACCAACAAUGCAAGAGCCCCGGGAGGUGCCAAGCCUCACGAGGUGGACAACGUCCAGACCUCCAGAGGGAGCGGCCUCCUUAGGCUGGCUGCUGAGGGGUAGAGAUUCCUAUGCGAGCCCUCACCUCGUGAGGUUCGGAUGAUGCAAGCCAUGACGACCAAGGCCGGGCACGCGCCACUGGGUGCCGUACAACAUGUUUCCUCUUUGUUGUUGUAGUGACCCGACCUCAGACGGUCAAGUCUCUGUGCUUAAGUGUCAUCCCUGGAUCGGUACGCUGACACACACAGUACUCGAGGAUUUAUAACAGAGGUAAAUCACAUGUAUAAAGUAAUGUAAAUACUAUUACCUCAAUCCAAAUAGCAGAAGUAACAACAAGGUUGUGGUUUCCAAUCAACACCAACGACAAAGUUGAGUGUAGACAAUAUAACCCUAAAGUAUCACUUACUCGUCAUAAGAUUCCUGCAACAUGAGACGUUGCAGCCAUAUAGGUCAGUACAUUGAAUGUACUGGAAAAUUCACACCUAAUAUUGCUAUCAUUAAAGAUCUCUUGUCUGAUAAUAUAGAUGGGCAUGUUAUUUAUUUCUGUGAUGAAAUUUCUAGAAUUGCCAAACCCUGUGAUAAAGAUAAACCUAGACCUGUGGUAGGCAUGCCUGUUAUUUCUGUUAAAAUAGGAGAUCAUUGUUAUCAUGGCUUAUGUGAUAUGGGUGCUAGUGCUAGUGUAAUACCUUAUUCCUUAUACAAAGAAGUUAUGCAUGAUAUUGCACCUGCUGAGAUGGAAGAUAUUGAUGUCACAAUUAAACUUGCCAAUAGAGAUACUAUUUCACCAAUGGGAAUUGUUAGAGAUGUUGAAGUCUUGUGUGGGAAAACUAAAUAUCCUGCUGAUUUUCUUGUUCUUGGUUCCCCACAAGAUAGCUUUUGUCCCAUUAUAUUUGGUAGACCCUUCUUAAAUAUUGUUAGUGCUAUCAUAUAUUGCAAAACGGAUGUUGUUACUAUCGGUUUAGAUGAUAUGACUCAUGAAUUUAAUUUUUCUAAAUUUAGUAGACAACACCGUGAAGAAGAAUUACCUAGUAAGGAUGAAAUUAUUGGUUUUGCUUCUAUUGCCGUACCUCCUAGUGAUCCUUUAGAACAAUACUUGCUAGACCCUGAAAAUGAUAUGUUUAUGAAUGAAAGAAGGGAAUUAGAUGAAGUAUUCUUUAAACAGGAACCUAUUCUGAAAAACAAUUUACAUGUUGAAAUCCUAGGGGAUCCUCCUCCACCCAAGGGUGAUCCCGUGUUUGAGCUUAAACCAUUACCUAAUACUCUUAAAUAUGCUUAUCUUGAUGAGAAAAAGAUAUAUCCUGUUAUUAUUAGUGCUAACCUUUCAGAGCAUGAGGAAGAGAGAUUAUUGAAAACUCUGAAGAAGCACCACGCUGCUAUUGGGUAUACUCUUGAUGAUCUUAAGGGCAUUAGUCCCACUCUAUGUCAACAUAAAAUUAAUUUGGAAGAAGAUAAUAAACCAGUUCAUGAUCAUCAACGCCGGCUGAAUCCUAAAAUGAAAGAAGUGGUAAGAAAGGAGAUACUAAAGCUCCUUGAGGCAGGUAUAAUUUAUCUCGUUGCUGAUAGUCAAUGGGCAAGCCCUGUCCAUUGUGUCCCUAAGAAGGGAGGUAUGCUGUUGUUCCUAAUGAUAAAGAUGAAUUGAUUCCUCAAAGAAUUAUUACAGGUUAUAGGAUGGUAAUUGAUUUCCGCAAAUUAAAUAAGGCUACUAAAAAGGAUCAUUACCCCUUACCUUUUAUCGAUCAAAUGCUAGAAAGAUUGUCCAAACACACACAUUUUUGCUUUCUAGAUGGUUAUUCUGGUUUCUCUCAAAUACCUGUGUCAGCCAAAGAUCAAUCAAAGACUACUUUUACAUGCCCUUUUGGUACUUUUGCUUAUAGACGUAUGCCUUUUGGUUUAUGUAAUGCACCUGCUACCUUUCAAAGAUGCAUGAUGGCUAUAUUCUCUGACUUUUGUGAAAAGAUUUGUGAGGUUUUCAUGGACGACUUUUCCGUCUAUGGAUCUUCUUUUGAUGAUUGCUUGAGCAACCUUGAUCGAGUUUUGCAGAGAUGUGAAGAAACUAAUCUUGUCUUGAAUUGGGAAAAGUGCCACUUUAUGGUUAAUGAAGGUAUUGUCUUGGGGCAUAAAGUUUCUGAAAGAGGUAUUGAAGUUGAUAAAGCCAAGGUUGAUGCUAUUGAAAAGAUGCCAUGUCCCAAGGACAUCAACGGUAUAAGAAGUUUCCUUGGUCAUGCCGGUUUUUAUAGGAGGUUCAUUAAGGACUUCUCAAAAAUCUCUCGGCGUCCUACUAAUUUAUUACAAAAAUAUAUACCAUUUGUCUUUGAUGAUGAUUGUGUAGAAGCAUUUGAAAUACUUAAGAAAGCAUUGAUCUCUGCACCUAUUGUUCAGCCACUUGAUUGGAAUUUACCCUUUGAAAUUAUGUGUGAUGCUAGUGAUUAUGCUGUAGGUGCUGUUCUAGGACAAAGAGUUGAUGAGAAACUAAAUGUUAUGUAAUAUGCUAGCAAAACUCUAGACAAUUCUCAAAGAAAUUAUGCUAUUACUGAAAAAGAAUUCUUAGCGGUUGUAUUUGCUUGUGAUAAGUUUAGACCUUAUAUUGUUGAUUCUAAAGUAACUAUUCAGAAUGAUCAUGCUGCUAUUAAAUAUCUUAUGGAAAAGAAACAUGCUAAACCUAGACUUAUUAGAUGGGUUCUCUUGCUACAAGAAUUUGAUUGGCAUAUUGUUGAUAGAAAAGGAGCCGAGAACCCCGUUCAGACAACUUGUCUAGGUUAGAAAAUGUGCUUGAUGACCCACUACCUAUUGAUAAUGGCUUUCCCGAUGAGCAAUUAAAUGUCAUAAAUGCUUCUCAUACUGCUCCAUGGUAUGUUGAUUAUGCUAAUUACAUUGUUGCUAAGUUUAUACCACCUAGUUUCACUUACCAGCAAAAGAAAAGGUUCUUCUAUGAUUUGAGGCAUUACUUUUCGGAUGACCCACAUCUUUAUAAAGAAGGAGUAGAUGGUGUUAUUAGACGUUGCGUACCUGACCAUGAACAGGAACAGAUCUACGCAAGUGUCACUCCGAAGCUUAUGGAGGACACCAUGCUGGAGAUAGAACUGCACAUAAGGUACUGCAAUCUGGUUUUUAUUGGCCUACUCUCUUCAAGGAUGCCUGUAAGUUUGUCUUAUCUUGUGAUGAAUGUCAAAGAAUUGGUAAUAUUAGUAGACGUCAAGAAAUGCCUAUGAAUUAUUCACUUGUUAUUGAACCAUUUGAUGUUUGGGGCUUUGACUAUAUGGGACCUUUUCCUUCCUCUAAUGGUUAUACACACAUUUUAGUUGCUGUUGAUUACGUUACUAAGUGGGUAGAAGCUAUUCCAACUAGUAGUGCUAAUCAUAACACCUCUAUAAAGAUGCUUAAAGAAGUUAUUUUUCCGAGGUUUGGAGUCCCUAGAUAUUUAAUGACUGAUGGUGGUUCACAUUUUAUUCAUGGUGCCUUUCGUAAAAUGCUUGCUAAGUAUGAUGUUAAUCAUAGAAUUGCAUCUCCUUAUCACUCUCAGUCUAGUGGUCAAGUAGAAUUGAGUAAUAGAGAACUCAAAUUAAUUUUGCAAAAGACUGUUAAUAGGUCUAGAAAGAAUUGGUCCAAGAAACUAGAUGAUGCAUUAUGGGCCUAUAGAACUACAUAUAAAAAUCCUAUGGGCAUGUCUCCGUAUAAAAUGGUCUAUGGAAAAGCAUGUCACUUACCUCUCGAACUAGAACACAUGGCUUAUUGGGCUAUUAAAGAACUUAAUUAUGAUUUUAAACUUGCCAGUGAGAAGAGGUUAUUUGAUAUUAGCUCACUUGAUGAAUGGAGAACCCAAGCCUACGAAAAUGCCAAGUUGUUUAAAGAAAAAGUUAAAAGAUGGCAUGACAAAAGGAUACAAAAGCGUGAGUUUAAUAUAGGUGAUUAUGUAUUGCUAUACAACUCUCGUUUAAGAUUUUUUGCAGGAAAACUUCUCUCUAAAUGGGAAGGUCCUUACGUUAUCGAGGAGGUCUACCGUUCCGGUGCCAUAAAAAUCAACAACUUCGAAGGCACAAAUCCGAAGGUGGUGAACGGUCAAAGAAUCAAACAUUAUAUCUCAGGUAAUCCCAUGAAUGCGGAAACCAAUGUUAUUGAAACCAUAACCCCAGAGGAAUACAUAAGGGACACUUUCCAGAACGUUUCAACCUCCGAAAAGGAAUAGGUAUGUGGUACGGUAAGUAAACCGACUCCAAAAUAGUGUUUUAGGCAAUAUUUCUCUGUUUUGGAAUAUUUAGAAAAAUAGAAAAAUAAGCAGCAGUCCGGGAAGGACACAAGGGCUCCACGAGGGUGGAGGGCGCGCCCUACCCCCCUGGGCGCGCCCCCUACCUCGUGGGCACCUCGUGUGCUCUCCAGACUCCGUUUUCAUACAUGACACGUAUUUUGGUCGGUAAAAAUUCAUUAUAUAAUCUCCCGGGGGUUUUGACUCCCGUAUCACGCAAAAAUCUCCUGUCUUUGUUUCGAGCUGUUUUUCUGGCAGAUCCAGGUCAUCAUGUCGUCUUCAAGUGCCCCAAAGGACUAGUUCUUCGAGAAGGUCAUCAACCCCUACCUCGUAGAAGUGCUGCAACACCCUCAAACCAUAGAGAUGCGUGAGGGGUUGUUGCACAUCCACGAUGCUGAGGGACCAAGGAAGACUGGAAGCACGGAUUCCAGGCUCGAGGCAUUAGAGCAAGAAGUUUUCAAGUGUUAGGAGAUGGUGGAGUGUGGACUUGAUUCCAAUCACAUUAUGAUCACGGAGUUCACCAACAACCACAAGCUAGACGUCAAGGACAUUGGGGGAGGCCAUCUUCAAGCUUCAUGAGAAAAUCGAGCACCUCCAAGCCCAGAUUUAUGACCUGCAAAACCAAAAUUGUGAGUAUGAAUAUAGAUUCAAGAGGAUGAGUUUGGCUGCAGAUUUAAGGUUUCAGGAGACUCAAUCAUCCUUCUAUGGUGGUGAGCAUAUGCCCUGGAAGAAGGACGACAAGCCUACGCCAUCAACAAAAGCACCACCGUCUCCACCAAUAAAGAAGAAUUGAGUAUCUGGUAUGGGCACUCCACUUGGCAACUUCCAAGCUUGGGGGAGUGCCCCGGUAUCGUAUCACCAUCACUUUUAUCUUUACCGUUUUUCUUAGUUCGAUCCUUUUGGUAAUAUCUUGAUCUAGUAGAAUAAAAGUUCUUAGUGUGAUCUAGUUGUGAGUUUUGCUUUAUUAUCCUUCUAUGAAAUCGAGUCCGUGAUCUAUAAUAAAGAUUAGUGUUGAGUUAAGGGCUUGAUUAUUUUGCCAUGAUCCUAAGUGAAUAAAAGAAAAGAGAAAGAAAUAAAAAGAAACAAAGAGAUCAUGUGAGUCUUAUGGAGAGUAAUGAGCUCACAUAGAAAAGUAUGAUGAAUAAAACUUGUUGAGGAUUGACAAUCAUAGUUUUGGUCAUCGUUGCAAUUAAUAGGAAGUAAUGAAGAAAGAGAGGUCUUCACAUAUAAAUAUACUAUCUUGGACAUCUUUUAUGAUUGUGAGCACUCAUAAAAAUAUGACAUGCUAAAGAGUUGACCUUGGACAAGGAAGACAACGUAAUGGGUUAUGUUUUCUUACAUCUAAGAUGAAUUAUAUUGUCUUGGAUCUUCCAACAUGAUGAGCUUGCCUUUCCCCCUCAUGCUAUCCAAAUUCAUUGCACCAAGUAGAGAUACUACUUGUGCUUCCAAAUACCCUUAAACCAUUCUUGCCAUAAGAGUCCACCAUAUCUACCUAUGGAUUGAGUUAGAUCCAUCAAGUAAGUUGUCAUCGGUGCAAGCAAUAAAAAUUGCUCUCUAAAUAUGUAUGAUUGAAUGGUAUGGAGGAAAUAAGCUUUAUAUGAUCGUGUGAUAUGGAAGUAAUAAAAGCGACAGACUUCAUAAUAAAGGUCCAUAUCACAAGUGGCAAUAUAAAGUGACGUUCUUUUGCAUUAAGAUUUUGUGCAUCCAACCAUAAAAGUGCAUGAAAACAUUUGUUUCCCUCUGCGAAGGGCCUACCUUUUACUUUUAUCUCCUACAUUGCAUAAGAGUCAUGGUGAUUCUCACCCUUCCUUUUUACAUUUUAUCCUUUGGCAAGCACAAUAUGUUGGAAAGAUCCUGGUAUAUAUGGCUAAUUGGAUGUGAGUUUUCAUGAACUAUUACUGUUGACAUCACCCUUGAGGUGAAACGUUGGGAGGCAAAACUAUAAGCCCCUAUCUUUCUCUAUGUCCGAUUAAAACUCCAUACCCAUAAGUAUUGCGUGAGUGUCAGCAAUUGUGAAAGAUUAUAUGAUAGUUGAGUAUGUGGACUUGCUGAAAAGCUCUUAUACAUUGACUCUUUCCUAUGUUAUGAUAAAUUGCAAUUGCUUCAUUGACUGAGAUUAUAGUUUGUUAGUUUUCAAUGAAGUUUACGAUUCAUACUUGAUAUUGUGAUUGAAUUAUUACUCUAGCAUUAGAGAUUAUAUGACAAGAAUUAUAUAAGUUGUUGUUCUAAGAAUGAUCAUGAUGCCCUCAUGUCCGUAUUUUAUUUUUAUCGACACCUCUAUCUCUAAACAUGUGGACAUAUUUUUCGAUUUCGGCUUUUCGCUUGAGGACAAGCGAGGUCUAAGCUUGGGGGAGUUGAUACGUCCAUUUCGCAUCAUGCUUUUAUAUCGAUAUUUAUUGCAUUAUGGGCUAUUAUUACACAUUAUGUCACAAUACUUAUGCCUAUUCUCUCUUAUUUUACAAGGUUUACAUAAAGAGGGAGAAUGCCGGCAGCUGGGAUUCUGGGCUGGAAAAGGAGCAAAUAUUAGAGACCUAUUCUGCAUAGUUCCAAAAGUCCUGAAACUUCACGGAAGAUGUUUUCCAAAUAUAUAUAAAAUAUUGAGAGCAAGAACUUCACCAGGGGGGCCACACCCUGCCCACGAGGGUGGGGGCGCGCCCUACCCCCUAGGCGCGCCCUCCUACCUCGUGGGCCCCCUGGUGGCCCUCUGGUGGCCAUCUUCUACUAUAUGGAGUCUUUCGAUGGGAAAAAAAUUAUAAGCCAUCUUCUCGGACGAAAUUCCGCCGCCACGAGGCGGAACCUUGGCGGAACCAAUCUAGGGCUCUGGCGGAGCUGUUCUGUCGGGGAAACUUCCCUCCCAGAGGGGGAAAUCAUCGCCAUCGUCAUCACCAACGCUCCUCUCAUCGGGAGAGGGCAAUCUCCAUCAACAUCUUCAUCAACACCAUCUCCUCUCAAAACCCUAGUUCAUCUAUUGUAUCCAAUUCUUCUCUCCAAGUCCGGGAUUGGUGCUAGUAGGUUGCUAGUAGUGUUAAUUACUCCUUGUAGUUGAUGCUAGUUGGUUUAUUUGGUGGAAGAUCAUAUGUUCAGAUCCUAUAUGCAUAUUAAUACCCCUUUGAUUAUGAACAUGUUUAUGCUUUGUGAGUAGUUACUUUUGUUCCUGAGGACAUGGGAGAAGUGUUGCUAUUAGUAGUCAUGUGAAUUUGGUAUUCGUUCGAUAUUUUGAUGAGAUGUAUGUUGUCUCUCCUCUAGUGGUGUUAUGUGAACGUCGACUACAUGACACUUCACCAUUAUUUGGGCCUAGAGGAAGGCAUUGGGAAGUAAUAAGUAGAUGAUGGGUUGCUAGAGUGACAGAAGCUUAAACCCUAGUUUAUGUGUUGCUUCUUAAGGGGCUGAUUUGGAUCCAUAUGUUUCAUGCUAUGGUUAGGUUUACCUUAAUACUUUUGUUGUAGUUGCGGAUGCUUGCAAUAGAGAUUAAUCAUAAGUGGGAUGCUUGUCCAAGUAAGGGCAGUAUCCAAGCACCGGUCCACCCACAUACCAAAUUAUCAAAGUAUCAAACGCGAAUCAUAUUAACGUGAUGAAAACUAGCUUGACGAUAUUCCCAUGUGUCCUCGGGAGCGCUUUACAUCAUACAAGAGUUUGUCCAGGCUUGUCCUUUGCCACAAAAAGGAUUGGGCCACCUUGCUGCACUUUAUUUACUUUUGUUACUUGUUGCUCGUUACAAAUUAUCCUAUCACAAAACUAUCUGUUACCACUUAUUUCAGUACUUGCAGAGAAUACCUUGCUGGAAACCGCUUAUCAUUUCCUUCUGCUCCUCGUUGGGUUCGACACUCUUACUUAUCUAAAGGACUACGAUAUAUCCCCUAUACUUGUGGGUCAUCAAUAACUUCAAAGGGGAAACUCAGUCCAUUACAAGAGAGUAGAGAGGGAGAAGAAACAUAAGAUCCAACUAUAAUAGCAAAGCUCACGAUACAUCAAGAUCGUGCCAAAUCAAGAACACGAGAGAGAGAGAGAGAGAUCAAACACAUAGAUACUGGUACAUACCCUCAGCCCCGAGGGAGAACUACUCCCUCCUUGUCAUGGAGAAAACCGGGAUGAUGAAGAUGGCCACCGGAGAGGGAUUCCCCCUCCGGCAGGGUGCCGAAAUGGGUCUAGAUUGGCUUUCGGUGGCUACGGAGGCUUCUGGCAGCGGAACUCCAGAUCUAUUGUGCUCCUCGGUCGUUUUACGGUAUAUGGAUAUAUAUAGGCGGAAGAAAUACAUCAGGGGAGCCACGAGAGGGGCCCACGAGGGUGGAGGGCACGCCCAGGGGGGUGGGCGUGCCCCCUGCCUCGUGGCUUCCUCGUUGCUUCCCUUACGUACACUCAAAGUCUUCUGGGUUGCUUCCGUUCCAAAAAAUAAGUUCCGUGAAGUUUCAGGUCAAUUAGACUCCGUUUGAUUUUCCUUUUCUGUGAUACUCUAAAACAAGGAAAAAACAGAAACUGGCACUGGGCUCUGGGUUAAUAGGUUAGUCCCAAAAAGCAUAUAAAAUAUCAUAUAAAUGCAUAUAAAACAUCCAAGGUUGAUAAUAUAAUAGCAUGGAACAAUAAAAAAUUAUAGAUACGUUGGAGACGUAUCAACAUCCCCAAGCUUAAUUCCUACUCGUCCUCGAGUAGGUAAAUGAUAAAAACAAAUUUUUUGAUGUGGAAUGCUACCUAACAUAUUUAUCCAUGUAGUUCUCUUUAUUGUGGCAAGAAUAUUCAGAUCCAUAAGAUUCAAUACAAAAGUUUAAUAUUGACAUAAAAAUAAUAAUACUUCAAGCAUACUAACAAACCAAUCAUUUCUUCUCAAAAUAACAUGGCCAAAGAAAGCUAUCCCUACAAAAUCAUAUAGUCUGGCCAUGCUCCAUCUUCACCACGCAACAUAUUUAAAUCAUGCACAACCCCGAUGACAAGCCAAGCAAUUGUUUCAUACUUUCGAUGUUCUCAAACUUUUCAAUCUUCAUGCAAUACAUGAGCGUGAGCCAUGGACAUAGCACUAUAGGUGGAAUAGAAUGGUGGUUGUGGAGAAGACAAAAAGGAGAAGAUAGUCUCACAUCAACUAGGCGUAUCAACGGGCUAUGGAGAUGCUCAUCAAUAGAUAUCAAUCUGAGUGAGUAGGGAUUGCCAUGCAACGGAUGCACUAGAGCUAUAAGUGUAUGAAAGCUCAACAAAAGAAACUAGUGGGUGUGCAUCGAACUUGCUUGCUCACGAAGACCUAGGGCAUUUUGAGGAAGCCCAUCAUUGGAAUAUACAAGCCAAGUUCUAUAAUGAAAGAUUCCCACUAGUAUAUGAAAGUGACAACAUAGGAGACUCUCUAUCAUGAAGAUUAUGGUGCUACUUUGAAGCACAAGUGUGGUAAAAGGAUAGUAGCAUUGUCCCUUCUCUCUUUUUCUCUCAUUUUUUUUAUUUUUUAUUUGGGCCUUCUCUUUUUUUAUGGCCUCUUUUUUGGGCUUCUUUGGCCUCUAUUUUUUCGUCCAGAGUCUCAUCCCGAAUUGUGGGGGAAUCAUAGUCUCCAUCAUCCUUUCCUCACUGAGACAAUGCUCUAAUAAUGAUGAUCAUCACACUUUUAUUUACUUACAACUCAAGAAUUACAACUCGAUACUUAGAACAAGAUGUGACUCUAUAUGAAUGCCUCCGGCGGUGUACCGGGAUGUGCAAUGAUGCAUGAGUGACAUGUAUGAAAGAAUUAUGAACGAUGGCUUUGCCAUAAAUACAAUGUCAACUACAUGAUCAUGCAAAGCAAUAUGACAAUGAUGAAGCGUGUCAUAAUAAACGGAACGGUGGAAAGUUGCAUGGCAAUAUAUCUCGGAAUGGCUAUGGAAAUGCCAUAAUAGGUAGGUAUGGUGGCUGUUUUGAGGAAGGUAUAUGGUGGGUUUAUGGUACCGGUGAAAGUUGCGCGGUACUAGAGAGGCUAGCAAUGGUGGAAGGGUGAGAGUGAGUAUAAUCCAUGGACUCAACAUUAGUCAUAAAGACCUCACAUACUUGUUGCAAAAAUCUAUUAGUUAUCGAAACAAAGUACUAUGCGCAUGCUCCUAGGGGGAUAGAUUGGUAGGAAAAGACCAUCGCUCAUCCCCGACCGCCACUCAUAAGGAAGACAAUCAAUAAAUAAAUCAUGCUCCGACUUCAUCACAUAACGGUUCACCAUACGUGCAUGCUACGGGAAUUACAAACUUUAACAAAAGUAUUUCUCAAAUUCACAACUACUCAACUAGCAUGACUCUAAUAUCACCAUCUCCAUAUCUCAAAACAAUCAUCAAGUAUCAAACUUCUCAUAGUAUUCAAUGCACUUUAUAUGAAAGUUUUUAUUAUACCCAUCUUGGAUGCCUAUCAUAUUAGGACUAGAUUCAUAACCAAAGCAAACUACCAUGCUAUUUAGUACUCUCAAAAUUAUAUAAGUGAAGCAUGCGAAUUCAUCUAUUUCUACAAAAUAAAUCCCCCGCAGUGCUCUAAAAAGAUAUAAGUGAAGCACUAGAGCAACAAUGAGUAGUCGAAUAAUUAUGCAACUAUGUGAAGACUCUCUAACAUUUAAGAAAUUCAAAUAUUGGUAUUUUAUUCAAACAGCAAGCAAAAAUAAAUAAAAUAAAAUGACGAUCCAAGAAAAACACAUAUCAUGUGGUGAAUAAAAAUAUAGCUCCAAGUAAAGUUACCGAUGAACGAAGACGAAAGAGGGGAUGCCUUCAGGGGCAUCCCCAAGCUUAGGCUUUUGGUUGUCCUUGAAUAUUACCUUGGGGUGACUCGGGAAUCCCCAAGCUUAGGCUCUUGCCACUCCUUAUUCCAUAGUCCAUCGAAUCUUUACCCAAAACUUGAAAACUUCACAACACAAAACUUAACAGAAAACUCGUAAGCUCCGUUAGCGAAAAAAACAAAACACCACUUCAAGGUACUGUAAUGAACUCAUUCUUUAUUGAUAUUGGUGUUAAACCUACUUUAUUCCAACUUAUGUAUGGUUUAUAAACUCUUUUACUAGCCAUAGAUUCAUCAAAAUAAGUAAACAACACAUGAAAAACAGAAUUUGUCAAAAACAGAACAGUCUGUAGUAAUCUGUAACUAACGCAAACUUCUCGAACCUAAAAAAAUAUAAAAUAAAUUGCUGGACGUGAUGAAUAUAUCUAUUAAUCAUCUGAAAAAAUGAAUUAACUAAAUAGCACUCUCCAGUAAAAUAUGGCAGCAAAUCUCGUGAGCGCUGAAGUUUCUGUUUUUUACAGCAUGAUCGCAAAGACUUUCCCCAAGUCUUCCCAAAGGUUCUACUUGGCACAAACACUAAUUAAAAGCAUAAAAACUCAAUAAUAACAGAGGCUGGAUAAAUUAUUUAUUUCUAAACAGGAGCAAAAUGCAAGGAACAAAAGUAAAGUUGGGUUGCCUCCCAACAAGCGCUAUCGUUUAACGCCCCUAGCUAGGCAUGAUGAUUUCAAUGAUGCUCACAUAAAAGAUAAGAAUUGUAACAUAAAGAGGGCAUCAUGAAGAAUAUGACUAGCACAUUUAAGCCUAACUCGCUUCCUAUGCAUAGGGAUUUUGUGAGCAAACAACUUAUGGGAACAAGAAUCAACUAGCAUAGGAAGGUAAAAUAAGCAUAACUUCAUAACUUUAAGAACAUAGAGAGGAAACUUGAUAUUAUUGAAAUUCCUACAAGCAUAUAUUCCUCCCUCAUAAUAAUUUUCAGUAGCAUCAUGAAUGAAUUCAACAAUAUAACCAUCAUAAAUAGGAACCUCUUCCAGAAUAGUGGAUUCAUCACAAAAUAAAGUCAUGACCUCUCCAAAUCCACUUUCAUCAAUAUAAUCAUCAUAAAUAGGAGGCAUGCUUUCAUCAUAAUAACUUUGUUCAUCAAAACUUGGGGGACAAAAAAUAUCAUCUUCAUCAAACAUAGCUUCCCCAAGCUUGUGGCUUUGCAUAUCAUUGGCAUCAUGGAUAUUCAAGGAAUUCGUACUAACAACAUUGCAAUCAUGCUCAUCAUUCAAAUAUAUAGUGCCAAACAUUCUAAUGCAUUAUUCUUCUAACACUUUGGCACAAUUUUCCUUUCCAUCAUACUCACGAAAGAUAUUAAAAAGAUGAAGCGUAUGAUGCAAACUUAAUUCCAUUUGUUGUAAAUUUAUUUUAUAAACUAAACUAGUGAUAAAACAAGAAACUAAAAGACUCGAUUGCAAGAUCUAAAGAUAUACCUUCAAGCGCUCACCUCCUCGGCAAUGGCGCCAGAAAAAAGCUUGAUGUCUACUACACAACCUUCUUCUUGUAGACGUUGUUGGGCCUCCAAGUGUAGAGGUUUGUAGGACAGUAGAAAAUUUUCCUCAAGUGGAUGACCUAAGGUUUAUCAAUCCGUAGGAGGCAUUGGAUGAAGAGGGUCUCUCUCAAGCAACCCUGCAACCAAAUAACAAAGAGUCUCUUGUGUCCCCAACACACCCAAUACAAUGGUAAAUUGUAUAGGUGCACUAGUUCGGCAAAGAGAUGGUGAUACAAGUGGUAUAUGGAUAGUAGAUAAAGGUUUUUGUAAUCUGAAAAUAUAAAAACAGCAAGGUAACUAAUGAUAAAAGUGAGCGUAAGCGGUAUUGCAAUGCGUUGAAACAAGGCCUAGGGUUCAUACUUUCGUUAGUGCAACUUCCCUCAACAAUAAUAACAUAAUUGGAUCACAUAACUAUCCCUCAACAUGCAACAAAGAGUCACUCCAAAGUCACUAAUAGCGGAGAACAAACGAAGAGAUUAUGGUAGGGUACGAAACCACCUCAAAAUUAUUCUUUCCAAUCAAUCCGUUGGGCUAUUCCUAUAAGUGUCACAAACAGCCCUAGAGUUCGUACUAGAAUAACACCUUAAGACACAAAUCAACCAAAACCCUAAUGUCACCUAGAUACUCCAAUGUCACCUCAAGUAUCCGUGGGUAUGAUUAUACGAUAUGCGUCACACAAUCUCAGAUUCAUCUAUUCAACCAACACAUAGAACCUCAAAGAGUGCCCCAAAGUUUCUACCAGAGAAUCACGACGAAAACGUGUGCCAACCCCUAUGCAUAGGUUCAUGGGCGGAACCCGCAAGUUGGUCAUACAUCAAGUGAAUCACGUGAUAUCCCAUUGUCACCACAGAUACGCACGGCAAAACAUACAUCAAGUGUUCUCAAAUCUUUAAAGACUCAAUCCGAUAAGAUAACUUCAAAGGGGAAACUCAAUCCAUUACAAGAGAGUAGAGAGGGAGAAGAAACAUAAGAUCCAACUAUAAUAGCAAAGCUCACGAUACAUAAAGAUCGUGCCAAAUCAAGAACACGAGAGAGAGAUCAAACACAUAGCUACUGGUAAAUACCCUCAGCCCCGAGGGAGAACUACUCCCUCCUCGUCAUGGAGAGCACCAGGAUGAUGAAGAUGGCCACCGGAGAGGGAUUCCCCCUUCGGCAGGGUGCCGGAAUGGGUCUAGAUUGGCUUUCGGUGGCUACGGAGGCUUCUGGCGGUGUAACUCCCGAUCUAUUGUGCUCCUCGAUCGUUUUACGGUAUAUGGAUAUAUAUAGGCGGAAGAAAUACGUCAGGGGAACCACGAGGGGCCCACGAGGGUGGAGGGCGCGCCCAGGGGGUGGGAGUGCCCCCUACCUCAUGGCUUCCUCGUUGCUUCCCUUACGUACACUCCAAGUCUUCUGGGUUGCUUCCGUUCCAAAAAUAAGUUCCGUGAAAUUUCAGGUCAAUUGGACUCCGUUUGAUUUUCCUUUUCUGUGAUACUCUAAAACAAGGAAAAAACAGAAACUGGCACUGGGCUCUGGAUUAAUAGGUUAGUCCCAAAAAUCAUAUAAAAUAGCAUAUAAAUGCAUAUAAAACAUCCAAGGUUGAUAAUAUAAUAGUAUGGAACAAUAAAAAAUUAUAGAUACGUUGGAGACGUAUCAAUACUCUACUUCCUCUGCCGGGAAUUCUACUAGAUCUCCAUUCAGACAAUUCUAGGAGAUGUGUCCUUCUCCACAUGAAUAGCAUGACUUGGUGCAGGGUUUAAUUGGGGCUUCUUUGGGUGUGUCCUCCACCUCUUCGUUCAUCAUAUGUUCUUCUAAAAUUUCCAUGAGGGCUCCUUUCAUUUCUUCUUUCUCCCGCUAGAAGGUUCUUUGUACCAUGGGGUAAAUGUGACACUGAGCAGGGUAGCGGGUAGUCCCUUCACACAAGAAACAAGUAAUCUGCCUAGUUGGGCAUUCUUCAGCUGGGUGACUUGCUUCACAAUUUGGGCAUUAAUCCUUGUUAUCUUUAUGGUUGUGUCCUAUUUCUCCACAAAGCUUGCAUGCACAAGGUUUCUUCAUAUCAUUUCCACAAGGCUUCAAUUUCUAGGACACAAGCCAAGACUUUAGCAGAGUCAACUUAAAUUCUUCCCAAGUGGUUACCCUUUGCCAUCCAUUGAUGGUUUGGUACAUCCUCCACCAAGUAGCGGCACCUCUUUCAAAGCACUGAAGAGUGUGCUGGGUCAUAUCCUUUCCGGCUAUAGUGUUAUUCUCCAUAUGAUGUUCCAUGUUCUGAAUCAUCGGUCCAUAUCCAAUUGAGUCAUCGGUCCCAGAAAUGUGAGUUCUUCUCCAUUCAUCCUCUAUGGGGUCCAUGGGUUUGGGGUAAGAUAAGAGAGAUAGAGAGGGGUACACACAAUACAAACAAUAAUUUUGAAAAGACAAAUUUUAUUUUGUGGCUGUCAGAAAAACAUCAAACAAAUGACAGCUCACAAACGUCGCAUCUAACGUAGGUAUAUAAACAGAGGUUUGGUCUUCUAAGGGUCAAUAAAUCUUCAAAGUCCCCAAACUCUUCAAGUCUUAUUUAUGUCUCUGAUGGAUUCUUUCGGUCGUGCUUGUCCUUCUCAAGUUAUUUUGCCAGAUCAUCUCUGUUGACGUGAAAUCUCUCAUGAUGUCCUUUAAUAUUCCAGGAGUUGCGUUCCAAACUUCUGGGUUUCAACAUCCUUGGCAUGGACCAUGGUCCUACUAUCCUUUAGUUCCCGACGAAUCUCUGGUAUCUCGAGGUUUCGCUCCUCCAGCUUGGCUACUUUCAGCUUCUGAGUCAUGUGUUCUUCACGAAAUGCUUCCUUGUUAAAUACGGCUUCCUGCAGGUCCAUCUUAAAAUUCUUGAUGUAAUACUCCAGAUCCUGGUGAUACUCUAGCUAAGGUUUAAAACUUCUUCUUUUGCUGAUAGGUGCUCCAUCAGCCUUCUACCAUCCAAUCCUUCCGAAGAAAUACAUGCUUAACUCAUCACGGUGACAAAUGCAUAAGCGGGCGAUAACAUCAUGGUUAGCCAUGUUUAUGCCCAUGUCUCUGCCAUGAGCUAUCAGCCCAUAGUUGUUAUCUCCUAUCCUGGGGUUUUCUUCACAAAAACUUCGAGUUUUAACGCUCCAUAUUCCGGUCUUUCUCCAACACACCUCGAUCUCGGGUAUUGGUAGCUUCAAUACUUUGACAAAAUUCCGUAAGGGUACCCUUCCUAGGUCAUACCAAUCUGUAAAUUAUCCUAGUCUUUGGAGUCUUCAACCAUUGUAGUUUCCAUUAUUAUAAUGCACGGUAAAAUCCUCUUCAUUCCGAAGUGGUCUUAGUUGUCCGAUAUCCUAUACUUCUUGGAGUGGUCUCAUCAGUCGAAUCUUCGCGUGGUCAAAAGGGGAAAGGGGGUAUAGUAUAACUAAAAGGGAAUAUUUGAUAAAGCUCAGAAAAGAAGAGAGGUAACAGAUCUUUUUGAAAAUAAAGUUUGAGAGAAAAAUCUUUCCUAUGGGCUUGCCAGUUUCUAGGGUCAUGUCCUACAGUCAACAUGUGCUCUGAUACCAUCUUGUAGCAACCGGACCUCAGACGGUCAAGUCUCUGUGCUUAAGUGUCAUCCCUGGAUCGGUAUGCUGACACACACAGUACUCGAGGAUUUAUAACAGAGGUAAAUAACCUGUAUAAAGUAACGUAAAUACUAUUACCUCAAUCCAAAUAGCAGAAGUAACAACAAGGUUGUGGAUUCCCAUCAACUUCAAUGACAAAGUUGAGUGUAGACAACUUAAACCUAACGUAUCACUUACUCGUCGUAAGAUUCCUGCAACAUGAGACAUUGCAGCCAUAUAGGUCAGUACAUUGAAUGUACUGGCAAAUUCACACUGUAGAGCAAUGCUGAAUAAUGGCUAUCACUACAUGCAUAUUUGGCUGGUGGAGGCUCAAAGUUUAAUUUUGCAUAAAGCUAAUUUUUCCCUACAACAAAGGAAUAUAUUUUAUUUAACUACAAAGUUUGUUGAAAACAUUGAGAAGGUAACCCCAACUCAAUCCCAAAAUAAUAAUGAUCAACCCAACAAAUUAAUUAAGUAUAGUGAUGAGAUCAAAUCAAUAAUUCAAGUACCAGAUACACAAGAUGUCCAUAACCGGGGACACGGCUAAUCACGAUUAGUUUGUACAUUCUGCAGAGGUUUGCACACUUCUCCCCACAAAACUCGAUCUCCUCCGUUGAAUUUCUCGCACUACAUGAUGUUUGAGAAACGGAUGACCGAGAUACAGUCUUUUAGAAGCAUUAACUCUUUACGAUGGGUAGACCGUACCACUGCUACCUCUUGAGCACUGUGUUGGUUUUCCCUUGAAGAGGAAAGGGUGGUGCAGUUAAGCAUCAUAAGUAUUUCCCUUAGUUUUUGAGAACCAAGGUAUCAAUCCAGUAGGAGACCACGCGCGAGUCACCUCAUACCUACACAAACAAAUAAGAACCUCACAACGAACAUGGUUGUCAAUCCCUUCAUGGCCACUUGCAAGAGUGAGAUCUGAUAAAGAUAAUAAUAAUAAGAUAAAUAUUUUUGGUAUUUUUAUGAUAUAUAUUGAAAGUAAAGAUUGCAAAAUAAAAUUGAUUGGAAACUUGUAUGAUGGAGAAUAGACCCAGCGGCCAUAUGUUUCACUAGUGACUUCCCUCAAGAUAGCAUAAGUAUUGCGGUGGGUGAACAAAUUACUGUCGAGCAAUUGAUAGAAUAGCGAAUAAUUAUGAGAAUAUCUAGGUAUGAUCAUGUAUAUAGGCAUCACAUACGCGACAAGUAGACCGACUCCUGCCUGCAUCUACUACUAUUACUCCACUCAUCGACCGCUAUCCAGCAUGCAUCUAGAGUAUUAAGUUCAUAAGAACAGAGUAACGCCUUAAGCAAGAUGACAUGAUGUAGAGGGAUAAACUCAUGCAAUAUGAUAUAAACCCCAUCUUUUUAUCCUCGAUGGCAACAAUACAAUACAUGUCGUUUCCCUUUCUGUCACUGGGAUCGAGCACCGCAAGAUUGAACCCAAAGCUAAGCACUUCUCCCAUUGCAAGAAAGAUCAAUCUAGUAGGCCAAACCAAACUGAUAAUUCGAAGAGACUUGCAAAGAUAAACCAAUCAUACAUAAAAGAAUUCAGAGAAGACUCAAAUACUGUUCGUAGAUAAACUUGAUCAUAAACCCACAAUUCAUCGGAUCUCGACAAACAGACAGCAAAAGAAGAUUGCAUCGAAUAGAUCUCCAAGAGAAUCAAGGAGAACUUUGUAUUGAGAUCCAAAGAGAGAGAAGAACCCAUCUAGCUAAUAACUAUGUACCCGUAGGUCUGAGGUAAACUACUCACACAUCAUCGGAGGGGCCAUGGAAUUGAUGUAGAGGCCCUCCGUGAUCAAUGUCCCCUCCAGCGGAGCUCCGGAAAAGGCCCCAAGAUGGGAUCUCUUGGGUACAGAAGGUUGCGGCGGUGGAAAUAGGGUUUCGUGGUGCUCCUGGAUGUUUGCGGGGUAUAUGGAUAUAUAUAGGAGGAAGAAGCAGGUCGGUGGAGCAACGAGGGGCCCACGAGGGUGGAGGGUGCGCCCAAGGGGGUGGGAGCCCCCUGCCUCGUGGCCUCCUCGAUUUUUUCUUGACGUGCACUCCAAGUCUCCUAGAUCACGUUUGUUCCAAAAAUAACGCUCCCAAAGGUUUCAUUCUGUUUGGACUCCGUUCGAUAUUCCUUUUUGGCGGAACACUAAAAUAGGCAAAAAAACAGCAAUUUGGGCUGGGCCUCCGGUUAAUAGGCUAGUCCCAAAAAUAAUAUAAAAGUGUAAAAAUAAGCCCAUUAACAUCCAAAGUAGAUAAUAUAAUAGCAUGGAACAAUAAGAAAUUAUAGAUACAUUGGAGACAUAUCAAGCAUCCCCAAGCUUAAUUCCUGCUUGUCCUCGAGUAGGUAAAUGAUAAAAACAGAUUUUUUUGAUGCGGAAUGCUUCCUAACAUAUUUCUCAAUGUAAAUUUUCUUUAUUGUGGCAUGAAUGUUCAUAUUCGAAAGAUUCAAGAUAAAAGUUUAAUAUUGACAUAGAAAUAAUAAUACUUCAAGCAUACUAACUAAGCAAUCAUGUCUUCUCAAAAUAACAUGGCCAAAGAAAGUUAUCCCUACAAAAUCAUAUAGUCUGGCUAUGCUCUAUCUUCAUCACACAAAAUAUUAAAUCAUGCAUAACCCCGAUGACAAGCCAAGCAAUUGUUUCAUACUUUUGAUGUUCUCAAACUUUUUCAAUCUUCACGCAAUAUAUGAGCGUGAGCCAUGGAUAUAGCACUAUGGUGGAAUAGAAUGGUGGUUGUGGAGAAGACAAAAAAGGAGAAGAUAGUCUCACAUCAACUAGGUGUAUCAACGGGCUAUGGAAAUGCCCAUUAAUAGAUAUCAAUGUGAGUGAGUAGGGAUUGCCAUGCAACGGAUGCACUAGAGCUAUAAGUGUAUGAAAGCUCAACAAAAGUAACUAAGUGGGUGUGCAUCCAACUUGCUUGCUCAUGAAGACCUAGUGCAAUUUGAGGAAGCCCAUCAUUGGAAUAUACAAGCCAAGUUCUAUAAUGUAAAAUUCCCACUAGUUUAUGAAAGUGACAACUUAGGAGACUCUAUCAUGAAGAUCGUGGUGCUACUUUGAAGCACAAGUGUGGAAAAAGGAUAGUAACAUUGUCCCUUCUCUCUUUUUCUCUCAUUUUAUUUAUUUUCUUUUUUAUUUGGGCCUUCUUCUUUUUUUGGCCUCUUGUUUUUCUUUUUUUUUGUCCGGAGUCUCAUCCCGACUUGUGGGGGAAUCAUAGUCUCCAUCAUCCUUUCCUCACUAGGACAAUGCUCUAAUAAUGAUGAUCAUCACACUUCUUUUUUACUUACAACUCGAGAAUUACAACUCAAUACUUAGAACAAAAUAUGACUCUAUGUGAAUGCCUCCGGCGGUGUACCGGGAUAUGCAAUGAAUCAAGAGUGAUAUGUAUGAAAAAAUUAUGAAUGGUGGCUUUGCCACAAAUACGAUGUCAACUACAUGAUCAUGCAAAGCAAUAUGACAAUGAUGAAGCGUGUCAUAAUAAUGAAACGGUGGAAAGUGGCAUGGCAAUAUAUCUCGGAAUGGCUAUGGAAAUGCCAUGAUAGGUAGGUAUGGUGGCUGUUUUGAGGAAGGUAUAUGGUGGGUUUAUGGUACCGGCAAAAGUUGCGUGGUACUAGAGAGGCUAGCAAAUGUGGAAGGGUGAGGGUGCGUAUAAUACAUAGACUCAACAUUAGUCAUAAAGAACUCACAUACUUAUUGCAAAAAUCUAUUAGUUAUCGAAACAAAGUACUAUGCGCAUGCUCCUAGGGGGAUAGAUUGGUAGGAAAAGACCGUCGCUCGUCCCCGACCGCCACUCAUAAGGAAGGCAAUCAAUAAAUAAAUCAUGCUCCAACUUCAUCACAUAACAGUUCACCAUACGUGCAUGCUACGGGAAUCACAACUUCAACACGAGUAUUUCUCAAAUUCACAACUAUUCAACUAGCAUGACUCUAAUAUCACCAUCUCCAUAUCUCAAAACAAUCAUCAAGUAUCAAGCUUCUCUUAGUAUUCAACGCACUUGUAUGAAAGUUUUUAUUAUGCCUAAACGAAAAUUGCCAUGCUGUUCUAAAGGACUAUCAAAAUAAUAUAAGUGAAGCAUGAGAGAUCAAUUAUUUCUAUAAAAUAGAACCACCGCCGUUCUCUAAAAGAUAUAAGUGAAGCACUAGAGCAAAAAGUAUAUAGUUCAAAAGAUAUAAGUGACGCACAUAGCGUAUUCUAAUAAAUUCUAAUUCAUGUGUGUCUCUCUGAAAAGGUGUGUACAGCAAGGAUGAUUGUGGUAAACAAAAAAGCAAAGACUCAAAUCAUACAAGACGCUCCAAGCAAAACACAUAUCAUGUGACAAAUAAAAAUAUAGCUCCAAGUAAAGUUACCGAUGAACGAAGACAAAAGAGGGAAUGCCUUCCGGGGCAUCCCCAAGCUUAGGAUUUUUGGUGUCCUUGUAUUUUACCUUGGGGUUCCAUGGGCAUCCCCAAGCUUAGGCUCUUGCCACUCCUUGCUCCAUAAUCCAUCAAAUCUUUACCCAAAACAUGAAAACUUCACAACACAAAACUUAACAGAAAAAUCUCGUGAGCUCCGUUAGCGAAAGAAAACAAAACACCACUUCAAGGUACUUUAAUGAACUCAUUCUUUAUUUAUAUUGGUGAUAAACCUACUAUACUCCAACUUCUCUAUGGUUUAUAAACUCUUUUACUAGCCAUAGAUUCAUCAAAAUAAGCAAACAACACAUGAAAAACAGAAUCAGUCAAAAACAGAACAUUCUGUAGUAAUAUGUAACUAACGCAAACUUAUGGAACCCCAAAAAUUCUAAAAUAAAUUGGUGGACGUGGGGAAUUUAUCUAUUAACCAUCUGAAAAAAUAAUUAACUAAAUAGCACUCCCCAAUAAAAAAUGGCAGCGAUUCUCGUGAGCGCUAAAGUUUCUGUUUUUUACAGCAAGAUCAAAAAGACUUUCCCCAAGUCUUCCCAACGGUUCUACUUGGCACAAACACUAAUUAACCAGAAAAAGACAACCAAAAAAGAGGCUAGAUAAAUUAUUUAUUGAAUAACAUCAAGGAAAAAUAUUGGGUUGUCUCCCAACAAGAGAUUUUCUUUAAAGCCUUAUAGCUAGGCAUAAGAUUUCAACGAUGCUUACAUGAAAGACAAGAAUUGAAGCACAAAGAGAGCAUCAUAAAACACGUGACAAAAACAUCUAAGUCUAACAUACUUCCUAUGAAUAGGCAUCUUAUAGACAAACAAAUUAUCAAGGCAAGCAAAAACUAGCAUAUGCAAGGAAGCGGAAAGAAACAAUAGCAAUCUCAACAUAACGAGAGGUAAUUUAGUAACAUGAAAAUUUCUACCACCAUAUUUUCCUCUCUCAUAAUAAUUGCAUGUAGGAUCAUAAUCAAAUUCAACAAUAUAGCUAUCACAAAACAUAUUCUUAACACUAUCCAUAUGUAUGCAAAGUUGACACUCUUCCAAAAUAGUGGGAUCUAAAAUUGACACUCUUCCAUACCCACUUUCAAUAUUAUUGCAAACGUUAUUAUCAGUCUCAUAUUCAUCAUGGGCUUAAAUAUAUUUUCAAGAUCAUAAGAAGAAUCACCCCAAUCAUGAUCAUUGCAACAUGUAGUGGACAUAGCAAAGCUAGCAUCCUCAAGCUUAGGGUUUUGCAUAUUAUAUGCACAAUUGACAUUAAUAGAAUUUAUACUAUUGCAAUAAAUCUUUUUAUUCAAAGAUUUAUCGUAAUCACUUCAUAAAGUACUUCAUCGCAAUUUUCAGAUUCACAAAUUUCAAGCAAAACUUCAUAAAGAUAAUAUAGUGCACAAAACUCACUAGCAAUUGGUUCAUCAUAAUUGGAUCUCUUAAAAAGAUUAGCAAGCGGAUGAGGAUCCAUAGAUCUUAGAUUCUUUGUUUAGCAAUAAAUAAACAACUAUUCCAAACAAACGAGCAAACGAGCCAAGUAAGACAUCAAAGCAAAUGGAAAUACGAACAAAAUAAGGGAGAAUAAAACGGCAAGGGUGAAGUGGGGGAGAGAAAAACGAGAGGCAAAUGGCAAAUAAUGUAAUGCGAAGGGUAAGAGUUGUGAUGGGUACUUGGUAUGUCUUGACUUGGCGUAGAUCUCCCCGACAACGGUGCCAGAAAUCCUUCUUGCUACCUCUUGAGCACUGCAUUGGUUUUCCCUUGAAGAGGAAAGGGUGGUGCAGUAAAGCAGCGUAAGUAUUUCCCUCAGUUUUUGAGAACCAAGGUAUCAAUCCAGUAGAAGACCAUGCGCGAGUCACCUCGUACCUACACAAACAAAUAAGAACCUCGCAACCAACAUGAUAAAGGGGUUGUCAAUCCCUUCACGGCCACUUACAAGAGUGAGAUCUGAUAGAGAUAAUAAUAAUAAGAUAAAUAUUUUUGGUAUUUUCAUGAUAUAGAUUGAAAGUAAAGAUUGCAAAAUAAAAUAGAUUGGAAACUUGUAUGAUGGAGAAUAGACCCCGGGGCCAUAGGUUUCACUAGUGGCUUCUCUCAAGAUAGCAUAAGUAUUACGGUGGGUGAACAAGUUACUAUCGAGCAAUUGAUAGAAUAGCGAAUAAUUAUGAGAAUAUCUAGGUAUGAUCAUGUAUAUAGGCAUCACGUCCGCGACAAGUAGACCGAUUCCUGCCUGCAUCUACUACUAUUACUCCACACAUCGAGCGCUAUCCAACAUGCAUCUAGAGUAUUAAGUUCAUAAGAACAGAGUAACGCCUUAAGCAAGAUGACAUGAUGUAGAGGGAUAAACUCAUGCAAUAUGAUAUAACCCCAUCUUUUUAUCCUUGAUGGCAACAAUACAAUACGUGUCGUUUCCCUUUCUGUCACUGGGAUCGAGCACCGCAAGAUUGAACCCAAAGCUAAGCACUUCUCCCAUUGCAAGAAAGACCAAUCUAGUAGGCCAAACCAAACUGAUAAUUCGAAGAUACUUGCAAAGAUAAACCAAUCAUACAUAAAAGAAUUUAGAGAAAAUUCAAAUAUUGUUCAUAGAUAAACUUGAUCAUAAACCCACAAUUCAUCGGAUGUCGACAAACACACCGCAAAAGAAGAUUACAUCGAAUAGAUCUCCAAGAGAAUCGAGGAGAACUUUGUAUUGAGAUUCAAAGAGAGAGAAUAAGCCAUCUAGCUAAUAACUAUGGACCCGUAGGUCUGAGGUAAACUACUCACACAUCAUCGGAGGGGCCAUGGAGUUGAUGUAGAGGCCCCCCGUGAUCAAUGCCCCCUCCGGCGGAGCUCCGGGAAAGGCCCCAAGAUGGGAUCUCUUGGGUACAGAUGGUUGCGGCGGUGCAAAUAGGGUUUCAUGGUGCUCCUGGAUGUUUGCGGGGUAUAUGGAUAUAUAUAGGAGGAAGAAGUAGGUCGGUGGAGCAACGAGGGGCUCACGAGGGUGGUGGGCCCGCCCCCUGCCUCAUGGCCUCCUCGAUUGUUUUUUGACGUCCACUCCAAGUCUCCUGGAUCACAUUUGUUCCAAAAAUAACGCUCCCAAAGGUUUCAUUCCGUUUGGACUCCGUUUGAUAUUCCUUUUCGGCGAAACGCUAAAAUAGGCAAAAAAACUAGAAUUUGGGUUGGGCCUCCGGUUAAUAGGUUAGUCCCAAAAAUAAUAUAAAAGUGUAAAAAUAAGCCCAUUAACAUCCAAAAUAGAUAAUAUAGUAGCAUGGAACAAUCAAAAAUUAUAGAUAUGUUGGAGACAUAUCAACCACGUGCAUCCCCUACAUCUGGUAGUCUACUAGUGUAAGUGGUCACACAACAUACUCAACUAUGCCAGAGCCCAUAAUGGCUUGUGGCUGCACACAGAAGUUUCUAGCAUGAAUAACAUUAUGAUCCCUUUGAGCCUGGGUGGUAUUCCAAUAGGAUGGUCACACGGAUACCCCGAGAUCUCCUAGGACAACACUGGAUUCCCCAGGUGUACGGGCAAGCCACUGGUAUCCCCAGGGUGCCCCAACCAAUCCACCCAGAUGUGUAUUAAAGUAGCCACCUUAAGUUAACCCUUAGAUAUAAAUACCUCUCACAUCUUUCAUGAAUCUCACAAACCAAUCCACGUCUACAUGUUAUCACACCCAGGGGUUUGAAUAUAAGACAGUAGGUUCCUAGGGGUUUGAAUAUAAGACAGUAGGUUCCUACCUCAGGGGUUUGAAUAUAAGACAGUAGGUUCCUACCUCAUCAACUACUUCCCAAAUACCCACAUGUUAUCACAUCCUACUCAUGCUAUGUUUUAGGGUGAAACUAAUGCAUAAAACUGGGUAUGAAAAAUAUGAUCAAAGUGUGAACUUGCCUUGUAUUUUGAUGAAAAUGAUUCACACUCAUAACUCCUGAUAGUUCUACUCAUCACACUCCUGUCAAGCUAUCGUGAGCAAGCAAUUGCAUACAUAGGCAAUCAUGCAAAAGAAUCAAAGAAAAGAUCUCAGAAAACUUCGAAAACAAGAAAAUAACUCUUGCAACAUAAAACAAUUUCUAACAGUACCAAAAUUAGGGGGAUUUGGCCUUAUCAGAAAGUUCAGUUCAAGAGCUUCAAUUUGCAAGAAGAAACAACUAAAUCGGAGUUAUAUAACUCGAGUUAUGAACAAAAUAAGUUUGAGUACAAAUCUGUUUGAAAUCAAAUUUUACAUUGUCAAAACCAUGUUCAAGUUGAUUAUCUGGAUAGAGGGGAUCGUAAUGAAGAAGUGGGCGUUGGUUUCGUCAAAUUUGGAUAAGCGAGUAAAGAGUUGUGACCGUUAGAAGAUCAGGGACUAAACUGUAAAUAUAAAACUACCGAACGCUAACGAAUGAAUUUGUUCACUCUAAAGAGAUAAAUAGUGAGCGUUCACUAAUUAACUAGGUUAAUAAGAAAAACCGGGUUUAACCUAAAAACCGGAACUUAAAAGAAAACCAAGUGAGACCAGGUUUGGUUUAGUACCGGUUCGGGCGGUUUUCAUCCAAAACUGGCGGCGGGCGGCGGCGGCUCCGGUCGGUGGCGGCAGCUGCGGGCGAGGCGGCAAAGCGGCAAUGCGACGACGGCAAGGCGAUGGCUUCGGAGUGGGGCGGCGGUGUGCAGCAAAACAUGGCUGGGGCGGCGGAGUCGCAGCAUCGAUGCAGCGACGGUGGCGAUGCGAGGCUCGAGGCGGUAGCGGCGAGAUGGGGUCCAAGGGGACCUGGGCGGCGCAAUAACUAGGUAGGUGGGGCGAGCGGCCUCGGGAGGCGUGGAGAUAGGGUAAUGCGGCGACGGUUUCUGGCUCGGCAACGGCAACGGUGGCAGCGGGCGAAGUAUGCGGGCGCCGAAGAUUUGCGGGGAUGGGCGCGGGGCUCGGCUGGGCCACGGCUGGCCUGGCCUGGAUGGCUGGGCCGCCUGGUUCGGCCGAAAGUUUCUUUUUUUAAACAGACAUAAGAAAAGAAAAAAUAAAACAACAAAAUAAAGAAUAUACUAUAGGCGUAUAAUAUACCAAAAUUUUCAAAAAAAAAUAUUCUCUACAACAUGAACAUUUUUCUAACGUCAAAUAAAAUCCACAAAAAUUAAAAUAAAUCCAACAGUGCUACUGCUGCAACAAAACCUCAUAAAAAUCAUUUUAAAAAUACCAAAAUAAAUUCAAAUUUAAUUCUCUCCAAUUUUCUAAUGUAGGGAAUCAUUUUACCCUAAUUUCCAUAUAUUUUAUUUUUGGAGAAAAAUAAUUUGAAUAAAACCCAAAUAACUCAAAAUUGAAAAAUAAUUUCAAAGGGACUCUAGAUUUGAUUCUCUUAAACUCCCAACUCAUAUUUCGUAUGCUUUGAAGAAGUCAUUUUAUCUUCUCUCAUGAAAAUCAUUGAGUUGCUUAAAGUUUCUGGAUUUAAAAUAUUUCCAAAUGGAAUUCAACUCUUUUCAAAUUGCUUUUCAUUUAUUUAAAAUGGAAGAAGUCAUGUUAUCUUAUCUCCAGGGUUUUUGUGAUGGAAAGAAUUUGAAUUCAUGGAUCCAAAAGCAAAAAUGAAAGUUUGGAAAAGUCCUUUUAUUCCCUCUCAUUUAACUUUCAAAAAGUUUCAAAUUUCACUUAAUUUCACACAAGCAACCACACCACAAUCAAACAAUCAAUCAAUUCUAUUUAUUUAAUAUAACAUUCCAAUAAUUAGAAUUUUGGGAUGUUACAGGUGCUAAAGAGGCAAGCGUAGGCGUGGAGUCCCCAGGCAUCAACCAAAGGUUUCCAUUUCCAUGCAACAAGACCAAGACCGCCAGGACGGUAGGACAGAGGUCAUCGCCGAGCCCACCACGGCGUCACGACCUGAGGCUUUGCGGGCGAAGACCACCUUUUGUUAAGAUAAGAUGUACUAGUUGUCUCCCUUCGAAUUUGGCCGUUGUGGGAUCCCUUCCCGCCUUCAUUUUGGGGGAAGAUGACCAAGGCCACUAUAAGUAUAGCCUAGGCACCACCAUAGAGGGAGAGGAUCAUUCAUUCACCCAUCCACAUCCACACCCACACCAUCACAAGAACACACCUCCUGAGGUUGUUCUUCCAUUGUACCAGUUCAUCCUCAGCCCACCUCGAGGCCAAUCCACCACAAAGCAGGAGUAUGGUUUUACACCGUAAGGUGGCCCGAACCUGGGUACAUUUCCUUGUUCCAUUUCCUUCCACUUCAUCGAGCUAGGCCGUGAGAUCGACAAGUUGGCAGACUAGGGAGGUUGAGUCAUUCACAUGCACCCCAGAGUUUGAAUCUAUCUAGGGUCUACGGAGCUCCGAAUCCGACAAGCACCUUGCGAGUUGCGAGGACGAGGAAGAGGCGUUCUGUUGCCGUGCACCAGCGUGCUCCUGCGAGCGUCGUGGCUUUGAUUAUGAAUAAUUUAGUGUCGUAAGGCGAUCUCAUUAGUUUUUGGGACGAAAAUGAUAAAUCCUGAACAUUCAGGAAUUAUUAGUGUCCUUAAUUAACUAUGUAAAAGGAAAAGUUUGGAAACCUUUUAUAUCCGUACGCAUUUGUAAGUACGUGCAUAUAGCACAAACUUAACUAUAUACCGCAGUACACGUCUCUCUCUAUAUAUAUACUUGUAGACUAUACUACUACUAUUAUGUAUACACACAUGCAAAUGCACAUUUUAACAUUACGAUGUGGUUUUGGUAAAAGUAGAAAAAACACUAGUCAAGCUUGUGAAACGAUUCAAUGCAAAAAUGCUCGAUUGUUUACUUUAGCUUCCUGCUCUCUGUGGUUUUUUCUCUAACAUACUUUGUAUGGAGUAUCUCACUGGUCAGGAAGUCAUGCAAAUUCCCAAACCGCUUCAUACACAGUGUAUCAAAUUUUUUGCCUAAGAAGUUGUGCCAUGCAAUUGGAAAUCCAACUUGAGUUCUACUACUAGUAGUAGGAGUAGUAGCUAGGGAUCGAGUGUGUGAGAUGAUUGCAGAGAGAUGAAAUGUAAAAAAUACAGAGGGAUGUGAUGGUUGCUUGUCCGUUUAUUUUACCAGGCCACUUAUUACUGAGAGUGGUGGGGUUUUGUGAUACGACAGCUUUACUGCCACGCCACGAGCGGGGUGAGACUCCCGUGCAGAGCCGCCCUCUACACUAGGACAACCUCCGUCGUGGUUUAUUAGUCCCCCAUGUAAUUUGACUGGAGAUUUAACUAACAAAAUGCUAGUGCAUGUCAACAAAAAAACCGUUGGAUUCGUAUUUCAACAUAGUUUUCAAUGAUAUAAUUUUUUGUGACAUGCAUGAGCAUUUUGUUAGUUAAAUUUAUGACCAAAAUUUGGCACAGAUUACAAUAGGGACCAAUAAACCAGGACGGAGGUAGAACUAUAUAUAGUAAGACACCGGUGCGUUGCACGGAACAAUUAAAUGCAUUGAUUGGGGAGUGGUUUAUUGUGACAAAGUAUGUGGGGGUCAUCUCUUGUGUAACAAAUAUUGAUAGGUUUCUUCGGAUAUUAUUUCUUCUCUAAAGCUCACAAGCAUCCGGGUGAAUAGUAAAUGUAGGCUAAAUAGAUAAAAAAUAUCUUUUGCAAACAAAAGCGUUCAACUAUUGAACUUGCAUCCAAAACUUAUUGAUUGAUGCAAAGGAUGGGGUUAUCCUCCUUUUCAAAAAAUAAGAGAGUAAAAGUUCACAAUUAAUCUCAUAAAUGGCAAGCGAGAACUCUAAUGGAGCAAAAGCAUACAUGGAAUAUUCUAGACUAAACCAUAAAUAGAGCAAGAUCAUGCAUGGAAGGUUCUAUACUAAAUAAGAAGUGUCCACAUGCUUAGCCAAUGACUUACAAUGAGCGAAGACUAAUAAUGAACAGUUAACUUGGUAAUGCAAAUGCCCAGGUGAACCUCCUUAGAGUCUUGGGGUUAAAAAUCAUAUGAAACCAGCCCUCUUCCAUGUCCACAUUGUUGGGAACGGAGCAGCUCACCAAAGUCUCAUUCAGCGUGAGGGAGGCGUCAAGGUCGCCCUCGUACGCUGAAGGGGCAGAAACAGUGAGCACACACCUAUACAGUGGCCUUGUGUCAGGGUCAGCGGUGUUGCCCCUGAUGCACACGACAGAGAAGGGGUGGCGGCCUGCGCGGGCCUUGACGGUGCCCACGACCAAGAGGAAGAAGCUAUCGUCCUCCUCCGUGACUAGGAGGCGGCGGUGAUCCUUCAGCCACUCUGGCACGACGAACGGGUAGCACAUCUCGUACUUGAUGUUCACCACGAGCCAUGAGUGAUUGUGGGACGGUGCCGUGAGGUGAUGCAUGAGGCUCACUAGUGAGUCCACAAAUGGCGGCAUGCACUCAUAGCAGUAGCAGGGCGCGUGCGCACAUCUGGACCUAUGCUCCGCCACCGAGUGCUGGUCGAUGUACCUCUCGCAGCCGCAACUCUUGUAGAUGCAGGGCACCUUGCGGGCAUCGACCAGGCCGUCCAUGAAACGAGAGUGGCUGUAGGGGACAUUGCACCCGCCGCGUGGAGCGCAGGAGUAGCACACGAAGCGGUAGAUGGUGUACUUACUAGUACCCCCUCCAUUUCUUUUUACUAGUUUGCAUAUAAUUCCAAACAUCACGUAAACACAUUCUCUCACCAUUUUACAACUAUAUUAGUAUCAUUGUUAGUGGUCAGCCGGUGCAAGUUCUAGCCCCGGGUGUUUUAACCAUUUUUUAGUAAUGAUAUCUUGCGAUUGUUCGCCACGAGCCCAAUCCUGGCGAAUGUGCACAUAAUCGUCAUAUUUCCAUCCGACGGUGGCCUUUUUUUAAGUCAUAGUAUUUUAAAAAAUUGCCACCCUUACACAUGUGCUCUAACUGCGACGCGUGCGUUUGCAACUGCCAUGUCUCCCAACGAACGUUUGUUGGGGAUUGGUGUUAGCACCGAUGGUGGUUCGCAGUCAUUCCACGCUCCGGUGCUAGUAGUAGAGCAGAGUCCUACUCCACUAUACUACUCGGGCAUAUAGUGGUAGGUACUGUAGUUUAUUUUACUAGUACUAUGAUCAAUCAAGUUGUCUGGCAUCGAUAUGACCCUAUGCUGCUGGGAUGUGUCUCUUAAGUCAAGUGGCGUGUUGCAACAUUGUCAUCAUCACCUGUCCACUUCCCACAUCACAUAUUCGCUUCUCCAUCCUCGUCCGCACAUAAUCGUCCAAUCUUCCAUCCCCGCUAGGCGCCUCCCCCCUCUUGCAAAACCCAAGCACUAACAAUGGCAGAACCGAGUAGUGAUAACCCACAAGUAUAGGGGAUCGCAACCGUUUUCGAGGGUAGAGUAUUCAACCCAAAUUUAUUGAUUCAACACAAGGGGAGCCAAAGAAUAUUCUCAAGUAUUAGUAGUUGAGUUGUCAAUUCAACCACACCUGGAAACUUAAUAUCUGCAGCAAAGUAUUUAGUAUCAAAAUAAUAUGAUAGUAGUGGUAACGGUGGCAAAAGUAACGGUAGCAGUUUUGGUUUUAUAGUGAUUGUAACAGUAGCAACGGAAAAGUAAAUAAGCGAAGAACAAUAUAUGAAAAGCUCGUAGGCAAUGGAUCAGCGAUGGAUAAUUAUAUCGGAUGUGAUUCAUCAUGUAAUAGUUAUAACAAAGGGUGACACAGAACUAGCUCCAAUUCAUCAAUGUAAUGUAGGCAUGUAUUCCGAAUAUAGUCAUACGUGCUUAUUGAAAAGAACUUGCAUGGCAUCUUUUGUCCUACCCUCCCGUGGCAGCGGGGUCCUAUUGGAAACUAAGGGAUAUUAAGGCCUCCUUUUAAUAGAGUACCGGACCAAAGCAUUAACAUAUAGCGAAUGCAUGAACUCCUCAAACUACGGUCAUCACCGGUAAGUAUCCUGAUUAUUGUCACUUCGAGGUUAACGGAUCGUAACACAUAAUAGGUGACUAUAGACUUGCAAGAUAGGAUCAAGAACUCACAUAUAUUCAUGAAAACAUAAUAGGUUCAGAUAUGAAAUCAUGGCACUCGGGCCCGAGUGACAAGCAUUAAGCAUAGCAAAGUCAUAGAACCAUCAAUCUCAGAACAUAAUGGAUACUAGGGAUCAAACCCUAACAAAACUAACUCGAUUACAUGAUAAAUCUCAUCCAACCCAUCAUCGUCCAGCAAGCAUACGAUGGAAUUACUCACGUACGGCAGUGAGCAUCAUGAAAUUGGUGAUGGAGGAAGGUUGAUGAUGUCGAUGACGAUGGAUUCCCCUCUCCGGAGCCCCGAACGGACUCCAGAUCAGCCCUCCCGAGAGAGAUUAGGGCUUGGCGGUGGCUCCGUAUCGUAAAACACGAUGAAUCCUUCUCUCCUAUUUUUUUCUCCACGAACGUGAAUAUAUGGAGUUGGAGUUGAGGUCGGUGGAGCACCAGGGGGCCCACGAGGCAGGGGGCGCGCCCAUGGGGGGGGUGUAGGCGCGCCCCCACCCUCGUGGACAGGGCGUGGGCCCCCUGGCCUUGAUUCUUUUGCUAGUAUUUUUUAUAUAUACCAAAAAUAAUAUCCGUUGAUUUUCAGGUCAUUCCAAGAACUUUUAUUUCUGCACAAAAAUAACACCAUGACAAUUCUACUGAAAACAUCGUCAGUCCGGGUUAGUUCCAUUCAAAUCAUGCAAGUUAGAGUCCAAAACAAGGGCAAAAGUGUUUGGAAAGUAGAUACGAUGGAGACGUAUCAACUCCCCAAAGCUUAAACCUUUCCUUGUCCUCAAGCAAUUCAGUUGACAAACUGAAAGUGAUAAAGAAAAACUUUUACAAACUUUGUUUGCUCUUGUUGUUGUAAAUAUGUAAAGCCAACAUUCAAGUUUUCAGCAAAGAUUAUGAACUAACCAUAUUCACAAUAACACUUAGAUCUCAUGUUUACUCAUAUCAAUGGCAUAAUCAACUAGCGAGCAAUAAUAAUAAAUCCCGGAUGAUAACACUUUCUCAAAAUAAUCAUAAUAUGAUGUAACAAGAUAGUAUCUUGCUAGCGCUUUGUGAGACCGCAAAACAUAAAUGCAGAGCACCCUUGAAGAUCAAGGGCUGGCUGGAACUUGUAAUUCAUGGUAAAAGAGAUCCAGUCAAGUCAUACUCAAUGUAAACUAACAAUAAUACAUGCAAAUGACAGCGAUGCUCUCCAACUGGUGCUUUUUAAUAAGAGGAUGAUGACUCAACAUAAAAGUAAAUGGAUAGGCCCUUCGCAGAGGGAAGCAGGGAUUUAUAGAGGUGCUAGAGCUCGGUUUUGAAACAAAGAUGAAUAAUAUUUUGAGCGGUACACUUUCAUUGUCAACAUAACAACCGAGAGAUCUCGAUAUCUUCCAUGCUACACACAUUAUAGGCAGUUCCCAAGCAGAAUGGUAAAGUUUAUACUCCUCCACCACCAACAAGCAUCAAUCCAUGGCUUGCCCGAAACAACGAGUGCCUCCAACUAACAACAAUCCUGGGGGAGUUUUGUUUGCAAUUAUUUUGAUUUGAUUUGAGCAUGGGACUGGGCAUCCCGGUGACCAACCAUUUUCUCGUGAGUGAGGAGCGGAGUCCACUCCUCUUGAGAAUAACCCGCCUAGCAUGGAAGAUACAUACAACCCUAGUUGAUACAUGAGUUAUUCGAGCAUAUAAAACAGAAUUUUUAUUUGAAGGUUUAGAGUUUGGCACAUACAAACUUACUUGGAACGGCAAGUAGAUACCGCAUAUAGGAAGGUACGGUGGACUCAUAUGGAAUAACUUUUGGGGUUUAUGGAGUUGGAUGCACAAGCAGUAUUCCCGCUUAGUACAAGUGAAGGCUAGAAAGAGACUGGGAAGCGACCAGCUAGAGAGCGGCAACAGUCAUGAACAUGCAUUAAAAUUAAUCAACACCAAAUACAAGCAUGAUGUCUGUGUUGCUGGUAAACGGUACCGACUUGUUACUUUAAUACGUUGCCAAGAACUUGCUAGUUUUACUAGUUCGUGUGAAAUUAAAUACGUUGCCAAAACUGAUUAGUUUUACUAGUUUGAUGUUAGUUUCUUAUGGAUCUUGCAAUACUUUAUUUAUGAUUGCUAACAUUCAAGUUUGCAGGAUCCAACUGAAACUCAGUUGGUACAACAGGUAUGUUUUCAUAAACUUCCCUCUUUAAUUGGUUUGCUACUGUAACUUGUUGCUGUAAUCAUCUUACCAAUUUCAAGUUUUCAGGAUCUAAUUGGAAUUUCAAUUGCACAGUAGGUACAUUUUCAAAAAUAUAUUUGUGUAACAGGUUUGCUACUGUAACUUGUUGCUCCAAUCAAGUUACUGAUUACUACUCAACUUUUCAGGAUCCAAGAGAAACUCCAAUGCCGCAACAGGUUCCUUUUGCAAAACUUGUUUGUUUAACUGCUUUGCUGUUGCAACCGGUUGCUCUAAUCAUGUUACUGGCUACUCAAGUUUUCAGUAUCCAAGAGAAACUCGAAUGCCACAAUAGGUACCUUUUGCAAGACUUGUUUGUUUAACUGCUUUGCUGCUGCAACCAGUUACAAUGAUGUUAAUAACUACUUUUCAGCAUCCAAUUUAAACUCUUCAAUUCCUUGUUUAUUUAACUGGUUUGCUGUUAUAACUCCCAAUUGAGAUGUUUUGCUAACUUUAACUUUUCAGAAUACAAUUGGAACUCUAAUGGCAAAAUAGGUUAGCCCAAGAUCAAAGAGCGAGGUCCCCAUGGACGUUGUAUCAUCCCACAACAGUGGCACCGGUCCAAUCAUGCAUCAUGAAUUGCCAACUGUUGAUGCUCUAUAGGCCAAACUAUUGGUAGAAAGAGAUUCUGCUUCUGCACUUAGAGAUGAAGUUGACAUGUUGAGGAAGAAAACAACACAAUCACAAGCAGUACUCAAGACAACCAUUAAAUAUUUGGUGGAUUUCAAAACGAAGCAAGCUGAGACUGAUCGCAUUGUUAAGGUCCUGAAGGAAAAAAGGAAAUUAAAUUCCCACUUGGUAAAUCGUAGGUGAAAUGUUCUCUCCAUCGUUGAAUAAACUUUGUGUUGUUUGUUCAUGUAAUCGAUCAAACCAUUUGUUUUAGAGAUCAUGUAAUAAUUGUUUUUUGUUUUGUAAUUUUUUUUAGCACAAGUCUGUAUUAAUUGAUACGACUCUGAGACAUUUCAUUUUGAUUACUGUGCUAGACCUACAAAUAUGCCAAUCAGGCUGAAUGUGCAUUCAACAAUAAUAGUAGUAUAGAUGGACCUUAAGUGGCAUGCAUCUGAAAGGGCCACUGGUGCGCGUCAGUCCUAAACAAACAGUUUAAAACCCCUUUCCGCGACGGCAUUUGGAACCAUCCCAAGUGAGUGUGGGCGAUAGGGGGGGGGUCCUUCCCACACGACCCAGAAACCGUCAGGGAUAGGGCCCCUACAGUACUCCUACUUGUUUCUGCUUGCAUUGCCAUCGUAGUCAGUAUUUUGUUGUGCUACGUUUACGAUGCGCGAACCAUCACAAACGGUUCACUAUUACAGAACGUGUAUGAUGCGCGGCCCAUCAUAAAUGGUUCACCGUUAAGAAGAUUAGCUAAUCGUCGUACGAGUGUGUCGGUGGAAAUGAAACCUAUGGGGUCACUGGGAUCCCUUUUACGGUAGGCAGGCGCGGGGUUGUGUGAAGAGCGGGUCUGACAGGGAGCACUUGUUUACACAGGUUCGGGCUGCGAAGAUGCGUAAUACCCUAGUCCUGCUUUGGUGGAUGUAUUUGAGUGUGUUCUUGAGCUAGCUACGAGGUGCAACUUGCCCAAAAGCGCCGAAUCCCUCUCCUGGUUGCCUCGGGCCUCCUUUUAUAGGCAAAAAGGGGUCGCCACAAUGGCACACAGGAGGUGGAAAGGUCUACAGUCGAUGAGCCUAUCCUCUGGGACCGUCGGACAAACACAUUUAAUGCGCUACCAACGUGCCCCCCUCGCUUUAUCGGGGACGCCAAGGAAGCACGUCCCAGCUGUCGCCGCCUCGCCUGGCCUUGACAUGCGUCCGAGCUGAUGGGGCGUUGUGGCACCAUGUUGGCCGGCUGCUGGGCUGGCGCGGUGUUGGAGCCUUCAAGAAGACUUGCAUGCCAUCACACAGGAGCUUGCUGGGUUGGUGUAGAGGCCGCACGUCGCCAUGUAGGCACCUGCUCAACUGGUUGAGCUUCCAGCUGCAUGGGGAGGGCGGUGGAGUCUUGGUUGGUGCAGGCCUGGCAGUGGCCCCGCUGAUGCCCUCGGCAAGGGUCUUGCCGGGGGCCCGACAAGUGUCUUGCCGUGGCGUUGCUGUCAACCCCAGCAAGAGUCUUGCCGGGGUUCUUGUGGAUUUCCUCGGCUAGGAUCCUGCCGAGGGUCACCGUCUUCUGGUCCUCAUCUGAACUCAUAUGUUUAUCAUCUUGAAGAAGAUUUGCAUGCCACCACAGAGGCGCCUGCCGAGCCUUGGCUCCAAUGUAGUUGAUUGGGUUGGAGCCUGUGGGCUCAAGGGUGGCUCGCUUUGCUGGUGUUGGGCAAGUUGCCCCAGCAAGGCCCUUGCCGGGGCUGCGGAGGCUGCGGAGGCAAGGAUCUUGCCGAGGGAGUCCACCUCGCCCUCUUGCUCUCUUGCGCUUCUGGUCUUGGCGUCGCCUUGGUUGUCUUGUGCUUUGGCUUCUCUCUGGCUUCCUUCCUUUGCCCUGCUAAGUGUGUCCGUGGCGCGUGGCUCUGACUGCCCGUGCACAAGUAAAGGGGUCAAAAGGAGAGCCCCUACUUUUGUACACCGACAGGAGUCCCCGGGCCUGGGCCACACAUAAGCGCGACGCGUUGUUGGGCUAGGCCUAGAACGAUGCGCGGGCAGGUGGGGCGGAUUUUACCGCAGUAACUUCUUGUCUGCUAUGCUUCCCCAUGAUCCACGUUGAACGCGUGAUGUGGAGGGUCGUGCGUGAUGUGGGGGUCAUGCGUGGGGCGGUUUUCGCACGCAUGCAUCACAUCGCGGUAAAGAGGCGGCUCGCGCCUUCCCCAUAAAAGGAGGGAUGCAGAGAGGCACGACCCAUUUACUUGGGCGGACUCAGGUCGUGGUCUUCAAGGCGCCCGAGCCCCACGAUCACGGGGUGGGGAGCGGCUGCUUCUCCCUUCCCUUCAAUGCUACUCGCUCGCCAUGUGUCCCUCAUGGAGGUGGCAGGAGGUGGAGGCGGGAAACCGGACCGUCGUUGAUUGGGGCAGCGGGCCGGUCCUGAUUCCCUGUGCCCCUGAUGACCAGAUUGGCCGAGAGGGGCGGCCGAGCCCCGACUCCGCCCCUUUAUAAGAAGGGGAGGGGGCGGCAUUCCACAUUCUUCCAUCAUCCGUCUCCUUCCACCUCCGCUCCUUUCUUCCAUCUGCCGUGGCGAGAGGAAGCACUGGCCCUUCGACGGUGGUGGCGAGGGUUGCUGCUCGUCAGCGUGUUCCUCCUCCCCAAGAGCUCACGGCGGCGGAACCGACCACGAGAGUAAGGGGGAGGGGGCGAGGCCGAGGUCGUCGUGGCGCUCGAGGGAGAGGAGGACGGGGCGGCGCAUCGGCCUCGCCUCCGCCAGCGAUGCCUCCCCCGACGGAGGGCCACGUCGGGGACCAUGCCCGCGAGUUCUUCAUCAGGCUGCGCCGGCCACCGCGUCGCCGCCUCUGUCUUCCUACUGCAUUUGCUCGGGAGAUGGAGCUCGAUCCACCCCAGACCCUGUGGUUGCACAUGAGGGGCUGCGGGAACAGCGGCACGCGGGUCAACGUCGACUUCCCCGCUCCUCACAUCAUGUACCUCCGCCGCGGAUGGAAGACAUUCACUCGCAUCCACAGCCUGACGGCGGGGCUUGUCCUCUACUUCUUGUUAACGGAGGGCAGCUUGCUUUCCAUCAAGGUCUUUGGAGAUCUCAGAACUCGCUUGAAGUGUUGUGUGGAGAGCUCCUCCUCCGACGAAGAUUCCUCCUCAAGCGGGAGUGUUGAGGAGGGCAGCGACAACAACGACGAGUGUAACACCCAUAAUGCGGCUAUAUCUCCCACGUGUUGGGGCUAGACUUAGAGGCAUAGCCGCAUGGUAGGCUUGUCGCAAGAGGGGUAAUCUUCACACAUCCCAUGUACUGAAUAAGAAAGGGAUAAAGAGUUGGCUUACAAUCGCCACUUCACACAAUACAUAAAUAAAUCAUACAUCAUCCAAAGUACAAUCAAAGGUCCGACUAUGGAACCAAAAUAAAAGAAGACAACCCCAAAUGCUAGAUCCCCGAUCAUCCCAACCGCGCUCCGCUACUGAUCAUCAGGAAAAGAAACAUAGUAACGGCCCGAAUCCUCGUCGAACUCCCACUUGAGUUUGGUAGCAUCACUUGCAAUGGUAUCCUCGGCACCUGCAACUGUUUGGAAGUAUCCAUGAGUCACGAGGACUCAGCAAUCUCACACCCGCGAGAUCAAGACUAUUUAAGCUUAUGGGUAGGAGAUGGUAGUGAGGUGGAGCUGCAGCAAGCACUAAGCAAUAUGGUGGCUAACAUACACAAAUAAGAGCCAGAAGAGAGGCAACGCACGGUCGAGAAGCUAUAAGUGAUCAAGAAGUGAUCCUGAAGCUACUUACAUUCAAUCAUAACACGAGACCGUGUUCUCUUCCCGGACUCUGCUGAAAAGAGACCAUCACGGCUACACACGCGGUUGAUUCAUUUUAAUUAAGUUAAGUGUCAAGUUCUCUACAACUAGAUAUUAACAAAUUCCUAUCUGCCACAUAACUGCGGGCAGGGCUCUCGAAAGUUUAUACCCUGCAGGGGUGUCCCAACUUAGCCUAUCACAAGCUCUCACGGUCAAUGAAGGAUAUUCCUUCUCCCGGCAAGACCCGAUCAAUCUCGGAAUCCCGGUUACAAGACAUUUUGACAAUGGUAAAACAAGACCAGCAAAGCUGCCCGAUGUGCCGACAAAUCUCGAUAGGAGUCGCACGUAUCUCGUUCUCAGGGCACACCGGAUAGGUCAAGCUACGAGUAAAACCAACCCUCAAGUUGCCCAGAGGUGGCCCCGCAGAAUGCCCGUUUCGGACCAACACUCAGAGGAGCACUGGCCCGGGGGGGGGGGGUUAAAAUAAAGAUGACCCUUGAGUCUGCUGAACCCAAGGGAAAGGUAUAUGGUGGUAGGUAGGCAAAUGGUAAAACCAUGGUUGAGCCUUGCUGGAGGAGUUUUAUUCAAGGCGAACUAUCAAGGGGUUCCCAUAACACCCAACCGCGUAAGGAACACAAAAUCAAGGAACAUAACACCGGUAUGACGGAAACUAGGGCGGCAAGAGUGGAACAAAACACCAGGCAUAAGGCCGAGCCUUCCACCCUUUACCAAGUAUAUAGAUGCAUUAAAGUAAAUAAGAGACAAUAAUGAUAUCCCAACAAUAUCCAUGUCCCAACAUGGAACAAGCUUCAUCUUCACCUGCAACUAGCAAUGCUAUAAGGAUGGGCUGAGCAAAAGCGGUAACAUAGCCAAACAAUGGUUUGCUAGGAAGGUGGGUUCGAGGCUUGACAUGGCAAUAUGGGAGGCAUGAUAAGUAAGUGGUAGGUAGUGCGACGUAGCGAUAGAACAAACAACUAGCAAGCAAAGAUAGAAGUGAUUUCUAGGGUAUGGUCAUCUUGCCUGCAAAGUUCUCAGAGUUGUUGAAAGCUUGAUCCUCGUAAGCAUUCUCAAUAGGUUCCUCGGUCACGUCUCCCGGCUCUAUCCAAAGCAAGAACACAAGCAAUGGAACAACAAUCAAUCAUGGUGCAAUGCGGGCCAGGCGGCGGAGGGCACGCGGGCCAGGCGGCGGAGGCGGAUCGUCCGAGCGGGACAUGCAUGGGCUCGGCAAGCCACGGUGGAGGUGGGACGGCGGCGACCAUGUGGCGGCGGCUGAGUGGCUAAGGCGACGGGGACAGUGACGUGGCGGCGUCUGAUUGGUCGGGGUGACGCGUUCGGCGGACACGUCCGGCUGCGACGGACUUGUCCGGUGAGGGAGUCCUGGACUACGGGGUCCUCGGGCGUCUGGCCUGUUAUCCGUGGGCCGGACUGAUGGACUGUGAAGACAUGAAGGCCGAAGACUAUACCUGAGUCCGAAUUUGACUCUCCUUGGCAUGGAGGCAAGCUUGGCGACCGACUAUGAAGAUUCCGUCUUAUGUAAACCCUAGAUCCCCCCGGUGUCUAUAUAAACCGGAGGGGAUGGUCCGGAAAGGACACCAUUCAUUACCAUAGUCAUAUAGGCUAGGCUUCUAGGGAUUAGCCAUCAUGAUCUCGUGGUAGAUCAACUCUUGUAACACCCAUAUUCAUCAAUAUCAAUCAAGCAGGACGUAGGGUAUUACCUCCAUAGAGAGGGCCCGAACCUGGGUAAACAUUGUGUCCCCUGUCUCCUGUUACCAUCGAUCCUAGACGCACAGUUUGGGACCCCCUACCCGAGAUCCGCCGGUUUUGACACUGACAUUGGUGCUUUGAUUGAGAGUUCCACUGUGCCAUCGACAAAAGGCUCGAUGGCUCGCCUUGUCCUUAAAGACAACAUCACCCAUGGAGGGGCUCUAGCCCCGGGCCAAACCCUCCGGUUGGGCGGCUUUACUAGGAUCGCCCGUUGGGCCGUUGGGCCGACGAUGACCUCUUGGGCCAUCGAAAACCCCCUUCGCAUCAACUCCGAGCACUCCAAGCAGAUGGAUCCGGCAGAGCUUUCGUCUUUGAACGAACUCCUAGAUCGCAUCGCCUCUUUGGGAAUAGCCACAGAGUACGACCGGAUCGGGCUUAAAACCGAUCAAAGAGAAAUCGAGACCGUACCGGUCACCCACCAUAUUGCGGUAGUCGUGGAGUAGGACAACGAUUUUUCUCCUAUAUUGAAGACGAACUAUGUCUGGAUCGCCGACCAGGAAAAUACGGAUACCCACCCAUGAUAGGAUGCGACCAGCCUUCCGAAUAUAGCAUCGGGCGAUGGUCCUAAACAAUCAGAAGGUAUUCCGGAACCCAUACUGUUAAGCCCAGAAGAUCAUCAGACUCCGGAUAAUCGGUCAGGUCGGGGUUCGGAUUUAAUUCCACCCGCCCACCCGAAUUCAGACACUCUUGUAAGCAUAAAACAACAGUCUCAGGAAACAGUCCACCACUUCUGGGCCAGAUUCCUCCUUGUCAAGGACAAGGUAAAAGAUUGCUGUGACGAAGACGCAAUUUCAGCGUUCUGCAACAAUUGCGCGGAUGAAGGAAUCCUCAACACCAUCAAUCGCCGCCACAUACUGAAAUUUGCUGACUUAGCAACCAUCGUACAAAAAUACAGUGCGAUGGAGAGCACCUGGAAAACUCAGGCAGCUCGCUGGGAACUGCCAGUCCCAACUCAACUCCCCCUACAGGCGAAAAGGGCGCACCCUCGCGGCACGCCCAGUCCAACAGUCAAGAAACACAAAACCGCUAUGCGACACAGCACCGUUCUUAUCGGGUGGCUCGAUGGCCCAUGCAUAAUACAUACAACACUAGAUACCAUGGCAACCCACAACCUUAGAGCAUGUUGGAUUCUACUACAUGUAGCCAAAAGAAGCGAGGAUAUCCUUAUCAAGGACGACUCAGAACGACAUCCCCCAGUGGACGACAACUCAAGAGUAUUUACGGUCUUUGAGACAUUCGCUUCAAAUAACAAGCGCAAAAGGGCGCUCCACGAGCUCGCUGAAGUCUGCCAAAUUGCUAUGAUAAACCCCUGGAACAACACAACUAUAACAUUCAACGCCGGAGAUGAGCCAAAGUACAGAACAAUGCGAGCGCCAGCUGCGUUAGUUCUCAGCCCCAUCGUGGACGGGUUUCGACUUACCAAGGUUCUCAUGGACGGCGGCAGCGGACUAAACCUCAUUUAUGAGGACACACUCCAUAAAAUGGAAAUAGAUAGGAGCCGCAUCAUGCAAAGCAACACAACCUUCCGAGGAAUUAUUCCUAGUCGGGAGGCGCGGUGCGACGGCAAAAUCACCCUUGAUGUAGUAUUCGGCACGCCGGAGAACUACCGGUCUGAAGAAAUAACUUUCCAAGUGGCCCCUUUCAGGAGCGGAUAUCGCGCCCUGUUGGGGCGGGAUGCUUUUACACUCUUUCAGGCCAUACCCCAUUACGGGUAUAUGAAGCUCAAGAUUCAUUAGAGAAAUCAAACACCCGGACAAGUUGGCAAACCUGUUGAUGGUACCAAAGAAGGACAAAUCCUGGCACCUAUGCGUCGAUUUCAAAGACCUCAAUAAGGCUUGCCCUAAGGAUCCCUCCCCCCCACCCCCGCAUUGAUCAAAUCAUCGACGCCACUGCAGGACACGACUCAUUGUGUUUCCUCGAUGCAUAUUCCGGAUACCAUCAAAUCAAAAUGAAGGAGUCCGAUCAAGCCACAACAACAUUUAUCACCCCGUACGGCCCAUUCUGCUUCAACGCCAUGCCCUUUGGGCUCAAGAACGCAGGUGCCACGUACCAACACAUGAUUCAAACAUGCCUGGAGAAACCGAUCGGCAAAAUAGUAGAAGCUUACGUCGAUGAUGUCGUCAUGAAAACCAGACACGUCGAGACACUAAUAGACGACUUACGUCUUGCAUUCGACAACCUCCGGGCAUAUGACAUUAAACUCAACCCAGAAAAGUGUGUCUUCGGCAUCCCUGCUGGAAAACUACUGGGCUUCAUCGUCUCCAAUAGAGGAAUCGAAGCAAACCCAGCCAAAAUCCGAGCUCUGUCACAACUGGCUAGGCCAACAAAUCUUAAGCAAGUUCAAAAGCUUGCGGGCUGCGUAGCAACUCUAAGCCGCUUUAUCUCCAGAUUGGGAGAAAAGGCACUGCCACUCUAUCGCCUUUUACGGUGAAUCGACCACUUCGAGUGGAUGGACGCGACAACUGCCGGAUUGGAGGAAAAAAAAAC
Molecule: long non-coding RNA, 50567 nt
Filed under: Triticum aestivum (bread wheat)
Lineage: Eukaryota; Viridiplantae; Streptophyta; Magnoliopsida; Poales; Poaceae
Description: long non-coding RNA (TAES_LNC020621)
Source: RNAcentral